This 85455-nucleotide long non-coding RNA is filed under the name Coffea arabica (coffee). Its description in RNAcentral is "long non-coding RNA (CARA_LNC004341)". Lineage: Eukaryota; Viridiplantae; Streptophyta; Magnoliopsida; Gentianales; Rubiaceae. The record is from RNAcentral.
CUCUACAGAAAGUAAUGAAGGUAGAUAAUAGCUGGAACAAGACAGCAGGACAGUACAUUGAUCUGUACAACACAUUAAGAGUCAAGUGGUAAUUAUCCUUCCAAGUCUCUCUCGUGGUGUAAAGGAAGGAUCUCUAUUUGUGUCAUAUAGCCUCUCUCGUUGAAGCUCUUUUUGGCUUGUCCUUAUUGUUUCUAACUCUUAGACGAGGUUUUUUGCGCUGUUGUUAAUAGAACACCUAGCGCCAUACAAAAGUUUCAAUAAAACAGAUGAAUAAAGGACUUUUCUCUCACAUGAAACCACAAGCGAAAAUGAAUCUGACAUUUUCGAACCUCAUUUCCAUACAAUUACAUUGUUGGAGACUGCAUUUUGUCAGCUUUACAAAUUUCAAUUUACGUAGCCACUGAAUUUUGACCCUGGAGUUCCAGGAUGGCAAGCUUGUACGAUAAGGGGGCAACAAUCUAACUCUUUAAAAUGUAGGCAAACACAUGAGAAGUGGAAAUUGCCUCUUUAAGGGGGCAGGGAGGGGGAAAUGAAUGUCUUUCAAACUUCUAUAUCCUUGCCUUGUGCUUAAUUCACUCAACAGGAAAAUCUCCUCCCUCACUUGUACCCUCAAAGAUGAACAAUUGACAAACAAUAAAAUCAGGUUGCAAACGUACAUGUAGAACAAAAACUUAGUUUAGCCAUCCUUCAAACAUCAAAAUAAGAUGCCAGUCCUUGUUGCACAAUGACAAACUUCCUGAAGUUAGUUUAUGGUAUUCCAAAGCAAUACAGUCCUUGUCGGACUCUAGAGCACAGAAAAAGAUAAACCUAGAUUGGAAAAAAGAGAUCUGGACCAUCUGGUUAUUUUACAAGAUCAGCUGUCAAAAAGAGGGUACUCAUUAGGCUCCUGUAACAUAAUGCUGUAUUUCUUCAUUCAACUGUCACCAAUUUGGGGAUUUUACAGACUUUACUGCGCAGCAGGUCAAAAUAAUUGCUUUUCAGAGAAAGAGAAGACUAGACGUACAAACAGUAAGCAUCAGUGUGUGAACUAAACACACUUCCAAAGAAACAUCAGAUUUAACCACCUUCAUAUGCCUGAUGCCACCUACAUCAUAAGAGACCUGCCAAAGUAAUAAACGGAAAAAAAAAAAAGAAAAAAGGAGAGAGAGAGAGAGAGAGAGAGAGAGAGAGAGAGAGAGAGAGACGGAAUCAGGAUUUGAAAUUUUCUCCCUGCUCCUCCUCACCCCCAACAACUUCAUUGUACAACCAACUACUUCAAACAAUCAACAAAUAUGUGAGCGAGAGAGAAAGGAGAGAAGAUGAGAGAUGGUCUGUCUGAGGUAAACGAAAUACCACCUUAAACGAUCACAGUCAGUGACGUCCAGUCAUAUGACCAUUGCAGCAGCCAAAAUAACUACACCUAAUUCCAUCCGGUUUAUAACAUCAUUCUUCCUGCUAUCCAUCUCGGACCAAUAUGAACUACUCCAACUCUGUUUUUGGUAGCUUCUUACUACCGUCCAAGUUCAGAGUAUCAGCCAGGUUGUCUGACAGUUGAUUAAUUGGAUCAGCAAGAGCAAUAGUAGAGUUUCCUGUCACACUAGCUCGUUGCUUUGCCUUCUUUUCCAACAAGGCUUUCUCCCGCUCAUCAUAGAAUGUAAAAUCAUCUAAAAGGGAUGUAUCAGCUUCAUAGUCCUUGAAAAUCUUAAGCAUUUCAAUUCCAUGCUCAAGUUUCACCUGGAUAGAAAUCAGUGGUUAGUCAUAAUGGGAAAAUAGCAAAUUCAACAAAAUAAUUUAAAGCAGUUACUAGGAAGGAUCAAAACUUUGAAAAACUUGCUAGAACUCUCAAAAGUAUCAAGCUUUGUCUGUAACCUCUAGAAAGAUGGAUGACAUUUAUCUCAACAUCCCAAAGGGCCUAUACAAGACCCACAUGUCAAUGGUGACACAAAAACCAAAGACAAGUAGAUCAAUUAGUGUUUUCCACCCAUGCUCGGAAUUUUCUUGAGCAAAAAAGAUGCUGUUUCAAAACCAUGUCUAAUUCUUUGUGCUCAUUACAAAUUUUGGGACGGUAGAGGUGGGGGAAGAGGAGAUAAAUAAGAUGUAACUCUAAUUUAAGGGGAUAAUUCAAAGCUCAACAGCUUCAUACUCAGAAACACAAUUUCAGGACACAAGUAAAACAAAUACAGAACCCCUCACCUCUUGAGAGUCUCGACUGUGAGUAACAGGCUUGUUGUCAUUAUUUUCAAGAAGUAUGUGGCGGAACCGACUAUUGGGCACAUCUUUGACAACAUGCCAUUUCACAGGGAACUGCCCGCUCCACCUAUCCUGCUGCCAGUACUCCGCAUCAUUUUCAAAAUCAACAGGUCCAACCAUCUCAGCUAUCCCACAAAACUGUCCACUAGCAUUUACCUGAAGGAUACAAAUAGUACAUCGGCAAAAGGUCUUUAAACUAUCAAAUUAAUGCCCAGGGUAAGGUUGAGGCAAUGAAAAAGCUAUGUAUCUAGUAUAAUUAUAAAAAAAAUAAAUAAAUACUGUUUACAUUCAAUAAGGUCACUUUUGGUUACACGUAGUGAGUUCAUUCUUCCAUUAGCCGAUUCACAAUGGAUCUUGGUCAUUGAUGUGUAAGUUACACGACCUCACAAGUCCCCAGACCAUCUAUACAAAUAUUUACAGGUGUUUUCCCUAUCAGCAGGUUAAAGGCAAAAUUGCCACCACUCACCAGAAUGUUGGUUUAAAACAGCCCCUGUACCUAUUAACAAUGACCCAGCUUCCACCAGCAACUUAUUCUGAACUCUCUAACUAAAUGCUCCUUGUUCAUAUUCCUCAAAGUUGCUUUUCACUGCUUCUCAUGAACUUAUGUAUCACAUUACCUAACUUACAGUUAUAUGAAGAGAGGGACGCGGCAGAGGGGGGGGGGGGGAAGGGGGCGGAGAGAGCAUGAUCACAGAAUAUGAUUAUGAAGUGUCAGCAAAAAGGUACGAAUGUUGCUUCUAAAUGGAGACAGUAUGCAACCAUAUCCCUAUCAUCAUUCUGUUUCGUUGGCAUGAUGAACGCAACCUCAAGGCAGAAAAGAUCAAAUGGCGGAAACCAAACCAGCGCUUCACAUAAAUCUGAUCCAGAUGCUCAAAAACAUAGCCGAGAAAAAAAGGAAGACCGGGAGUUGCCUGUCAUGUCCUUAUGCUUCAUGAUAAGCAGUCUCAAGCUUUCGGUUCCAAGUGGUGUGGCUAGGCCAAAUGCCAUAACUUAAUUGCUCUUAGUGAACAUUAUCUUCACACUGAAAACUUGAUCACACAAAACUUGGCAUAUCUGGCAAUGAUCAGUACCAGGAGAACUCUGGCUUUGUACAUUGGUCAAGUCUGAAGCCAGAAGUAGCAGUCGAACAUCUUUACGUAUCCAGAUAAAGCAUUCUCUCAGCAGAAGUUUUUGCUCUUGUUGGGCUUUGAGGAGCCGCUAGUCCCUACUUUCUUAUACUAUGAAAUUCCUAAAGAAUCAUUAGAGUAGUUCAGAGCGUCCUAUUUCUCUAUCACGUUCCUCCUUACUACGACCGCCGUCUGCCGCUGGUUAUCCAGCUGAGAACUGGGGAACCGUGUAGGCAUAAUUGUCAUGCCCUGGGUAAGAGCCAGUGAUGUGGUAGAUGGUUGGCAGAGUGCAGGCUUGACGCUAGGCCCCCAGUCAACUUGAUUGUGCCUGCAAUCCAAACAAUUAAUUAACUAGAAUCAAGUGGUUCAGAAGCGAAAUCGCGAGGCCAAGUAGUUAAGCAAUUCAACAGAAAAGAAAAAAUACAAAGAGAAAGAAACAAAUUGAAAGUUGAUCUAGUUGCAGCUUUGAACAAAAAGUGCAGGAUGGCAUUAUAAAGAUGACAAAUAUUUCAACCUUCCAAAUAAAAAAAAAAGAUAGGCAAAAUUAAUAAACUAAAUUAGCAUAGACCUUCAAAAGGAAAGUAAGACAAAAUUAACAAACUAAAUUAGCAUAUCUCAUGUCAUUCGUUUGUCAGAUAGACAUUUUACAUACUAAUAAACAUGUAGCCAACAAUUACAUUUUACAUAUUAAUAAACAUGUAGCCAACAAUGUGUAAGGAAUAAAAUCUUUAAGCAACUAUGAAGAUGCAUUCUAGGAGUGCAGAAUGCUCAAUAUUUCAGGAAAAGAAAAGAAUUUGAAUGACGUUACUGAUGCAAUUGCCUGCCGCUAGUUUAACCACAAAAUGUAGAUGGCAUAGUCAUUUGGACAUGUGAUUUAAUUUUUUUUUAAAAAAAGAAGAGCAUGGGGCUAGACGCAGACCACCCUUUCAGACAUAGAGCAAUAGUGCAUUCUGCUUUUAAAUAAAUCCAGCAAUGACUGUCAAAAGAUUAUUACUCAACUACUAAAAUUUGUAAACUUCCAAACUUAUUCUGUUGGCAACAAACUCAAGAAAUAAGAAUAGAAAAAAUUCCGGCAAUGGUGGAGCACAAAGUAUCAAAAAUAUCAAGUACAAACAAGCAUCCUGGAUGCUACUUUUUCUUAGAUAUUCUUGUCACUUAAACAAAUACAUUUGAGUAACCAAUAAAAAUAGGCUGAUUAAGAUUAAGUCAAGUCAAGAAAUGAAGAAAAGAAUACAUGAAACAUGAAUAAUGCCCAAUUGCAAUGAAUUAUUUCAUGAACAAGAAGAGUUAUUCAGCUUCACGUCAUGUAAAGUUUACAAGAGGACAAGAAAUAUAUUUAAAAAACAAUAAUUGAUAUCAGAAAAAUAGUUCCAAUUAUUCUUCUCGCAGAUAUCACUACAUAGAAUCAAGGAGAUCAUGAGACAACUAACCUGAGCAAGAUUUUGCUCAUAUGGCCCAAGAAUGCCAAUUGGCUGUGGAUAUACCGCUCCUGAUGUUAACUGAGACAUGUACCUGCUUGAUUCCAGGGAACUUGAUUGAUUUGAUAAUCCUUCAGCAGACCCAAAAUCGCCUGGGAACUUAUAGAAACCAAGGCUACUAUUUCCAGAAAGGUCCCCUCCCCCAAAAGAUCCAAAAGGUACAUAGAAGCCUGAACUUGGCCCAAAAAGUGCAUUAUCAACUAAGCUUUCUUGUCCACUAGUUGCUGGUGCCAUUAGAUCAGUCUGUGAGACUGUAAGAGCUGAACUAACAUGUGGUAGUCCAGGUGAAACUGCUGGAAAAUAAGGUGGUGUCACUGGGAUCUGGUGCGGAGAGUAAAACUGGCCAUCAAUCAUUAUUGUGGAGAUUGGACUCGGAAUGGGAGAGAACUGUCCAUAUGCCAUCUGGGUGUCAUAGCCAUAACCAGGAGGGAAAAAUAGUGAUGGAUUUUCAUUAUACAUUCCCUACAUGUAGCAAAAUACCCAAUUUCAUAAACAGAAUAAAAAAGUCUGUCUCAUGCCUCUGUGCAUAAUUAGUCAAGGCAACAAUAUCAAAUUGAUGAAACUCACUGGAGGUACAACAUGUAAGCUGUUAGGAUUAACAUAGUUAGAAUGCUCAUCCCAGUUCCCAGUGCCAUUGUCAAGACCUGAACCAAGGAAAGAUGAAUAAUGAGUUUUAAGUACAACAAAAAAAAUGAUGAACAAUGAAAACUUUAUGUACAUUGGAGAAAAGUACAAGGAACCAAAAAAGCAAAACACAUGCCAAACUAACAAACAGUGAUUCAAAGAUGUGGAAGUUGAGAAAAAUUGGUACACUACAUAUCAGUACUAAAGUAAUUAAGCCCAAUAUUCACCUCAGUAUUACAGUUUCAAACUCGUGACAUGUUGACCAGAACCUUCACAAAGAGCAUAAGAUUCACAAAUUUUAUGCUGCUGAAACCCCAUGAAAAUAUUAAGCAAGAGGGAACAACACCCCUCUCUUGCAGCCAUAAAAAGGAGCAAAAAUAAUUGUAACACCCACAAAGCAAUACAACGCCCCAUGAAAGAAUGGCAGAUACACACAGUUCAACACAGUCGAAAGCUCUGUCAUGAGAACAGAACCAACAAAGAUAUCAUGUAGCCCACAUGUAUGGUCAGAGAAACGUUGAGAAGAAGACUAUAGCUGCUAAAUCAGCAAGAACAGCACUAUAAAAGGACCUAACCUCCAAAGUAAAAACUUUGUUCAUGCGGCACAUCAAGUGGAUGCACAGUGGUAAGAGCUCCACUCUUAUCCAAGGGAACAGGCUGAUCUUUGGCAUUUCUUGGAGCCCCUGAGAUGGCUGCAUCCGGAGAAGGAUUUGCAGAAAUAAUCCUUUCAUCUUUGGGCGAAAGUGGCUGAUAAUAGAUUGAAAAGGAAGUACUAAUAGACCUAAGCUAAUGGAGAAUUAGAGAAACAAAAGAAACACAGUACAAUCAUGAGUUAUAUGGAUUUACCUGUUCUGUCACAUUAUGCAAUUCAAUAGCUCGCUCCCCUGCAUUGAAACCAAAAAAUUCAUAAAGCAACCACACACUUAAUUGGUCAAGUAAGAAAGCAUGAUACCAUUCUUAUUUUCCUCUUUCUUAUCUAUUGCAGUGUGGGAAAGAAUAUUGACCUCAUUCCCACUUUAAAAUCAUCAAGAAUAUAAGUAAUACACCAAUUAUUUACCAGUAAUACAACAGACUAAGCAACCAUUAAGAAACAUUUAGUCUCAAAACGAACAUGUCAUCCCCAGAAGCAUUAGGUACAGGACAUAUAACAAUUGCAAAGUUUUCAACUGUUGAACAAAAUCACCAUGUCAUUAAUAGAUUCCCAACAUCCGCUUAUACAUAAAAGGGCCAUCUGCACAAACUCCACGUUGGAAACAUCCCCCCCCCCAAAACACAAUUCCCAUUACCAAAUAAUAGGGAGGUGGGAUUUAGUAAUUCUAUUAUGCCUGACUGUAAGAGAUUCCAAGAUUAGGCUAAGCUUUCAUCAGAAUGGGGACAAACAUGUGAUAAUACAAGUUCGACGAGAAAAAGCACCGUUUACUUUUUCGGCACACAAAAACAUCUUUCUGAUAAGGGCACAUCAAUCAAGAAAUUUUCUGCUGAGACCUUUCUGAGUAAACUUAACAUACAUGCCACCUUUCCACAUUUACGAAUACUACUGUUAUCACCUUUCCAGGAAAAGAAGCAUGCCAGCGAUAUUAAAACACCAUAAAUGAUCCUCAUUCUAUCUUGAACCCUAAUCAGCAUGCCAACGAUAAGCUUUUUUAAUGCAGAACCAAAUGAAUGGGCUACGACUCUACAGAAAGUCAUGAAGGUAGAUAAUAGCUGGAACAAGACAGCAGGACAGUACAUUGAUCUGUACAACACAUUGAGAGUCAAGUGGUAAUCAUCCUUCCAAGUCUCGUGGUGUAAAGGAAGGAUCUCUGUUUGUGUCAUAUAGCCUCUCUCGUUGAAGCUCCAACCGUGCUCUUUUUGGCUUGUCCUUAUUGUUUCUAACUCUUAGACGAGGUUUUUUGCGCUGUUGUUAAUAGAACACCUAGCGCCAUACAAAAGUUUCAAUAAAACAGAUGAAUAAAGGACUUUUCUCUCACUUGAAACCACAAGCGAAAAUGAAUCUGACAUUUUUUAACCUUAUUUCCAUACAAUUACAUUGUUGGAGACUGCAUUUUGUCAGCUUUACAAAUUUCAAUUUACGUCGCCACUAAAUUUUGACCCUGGAGUUCCAGGAUGGCAAGCUUAUACGAUAAGGGGGCAACAAUCUAACUUGAUUCGUUGCCUAACCAACCACUAGCUGCAAAAAUGAAAAAUGUAGGCAAACACAUGAGAAGUGGAAAUUGCCUCUUUAAGGGGGCAGGGAGGGGGAAAUGAAUGUCUUUCAUACUUCCAUAUCCUUGCCUUGUGCUUAAUUCACUCAUAAGGAAAAUCUCCUCCCUCACUUAUACCCUCCAAGAUGAACAACUGACAACAAUAAAAUCAGGUUGCAAACGUACAUGUAGAACAAAAACUUAGUUUAGCCAUCCUUCAAACAUCAAAAUAAGAUGCCAGUCCUUGUUGCACAAUGACAGACUUCCUGAAGUUAGUUUAUGGUAUUCCAAAGCAAUACAGUACUUGUCGGACUCUAGUGCACAGAAAAAGAUAAACCUAGAUUGGAAAAAAGAGAUCUGGACCAUCUGGUUAUUUUACAAGAUCAGCUGUCAAAAAGAGGGUACUCAUUAGGCUCCUGUAACAUAAUGCUGUAUUUCUUCAUUCAACUGUCACCAAUUUGGGGAUUUUACAGACUUUACUGCGCAGCAGGUCAAAAUAAUUGCUUUUCAGAGAAAGAGAAGACUAGACGUACAAACAGUAAGCAUCAGUGUGUGAACUAAACACACUUCCAAAGAAACAUCAGAUUUAACCACCUUCAUAUGCCUGAUGCCACCUACAUCAUAAGAGAACUGCCAAAGUAAUAAACGGAAAAAAAAAAAAAAAAAGGAGAGAGAGAGAGACGGAAUCAGGAUUUGAAAUUUUCUCCCUGCUCCUCCUCAUCCCCAACAACUUCAUUGUACAACCAACUACUUCAAACAAUCAACAAAUAUGUGAGCGAGAGAGAAAGGAGAGGAUGAGAGAUGGUCUGUCUGAGGUAAACGAAAUACCACCUUAAAAGAUCACAGUCAGUGACGUCCAGUCAUAUGACCAUUGCAGCAGCCAAAAUAACUACACCUAAUUCCAUCCGGUUUAUAACAUCGUUCUUCCUGCUAUCCAUCUCGGACCACUAUGAACUACUCCAACUCUGUUUUUGGUAGCUUCUUACUACCGUCCAAGUUCAGAGUAUCAGCCAGGUUGUCUGACAGUUGAUUAAUUGGAUCAGCAAGAGCAAUAGUAGAGUUUCCUGUCACACUAGCUCGUUGCUUUGCCUUCUUUUCCAACAAGGCUUUCUCCCGCUCAUCAUAGAAUGUAAAAUCAUCUAAAAGGGAUGUAUCAGCUUCAUAGUCCUUGAAAAUCUUAAGCAUUUCAAUUCCUUGCUCAAGUUUCACCUGAAUAGAAGUCAGUGGUUAGUCAUAAUGGGAAAAUAGCAAAUUCAACAAAAUGAUUUAAAGCAGUUACUAGGAAAGAUCAAAACUUUGAAAAACUUGCUAGAACUCUCAAAAGUAUCAAGCUUUGUCUGUAACCUCUAGAAAGAUGGAUGACAUUUAUCUCAAUGUCCCAAAGGGCCUAUACAAGACCCACAUGUCAAUGGUGACACAAAAACCAAAGACAAGUAGAUCAAUUAGUGUUUUCCACCCAUGCUCGGAAUUUUCUUGAGCAAAAAAGGUGCUGUUUCAAAACCAAGUCUAAUUCUUUGUGAUCAUUACAAAUUUUGGGACGGUAGAGGUGGGGGAAGAGGAGAAAAAUAAGAUGUAACUCUAAUUUAAGGGGAUAAUUCAAAGCUCAACAGCUUCAUACUCAGAAACACAAUUUCAAGACGCAAAUAAAACAAAUACAGAACCCCUCACCUCUUGAGAGUCUCGACUGUGAGUAACAGGCUUGUUGUCAUUAUUUUCAAGAAGUAUGUGGCGGAACCGACUAUUGGGCACAUCUUUGACAACAUGCCAUUUCACAGGGAACUGCCCGCUCCACCUAUCCUGCUGCCAGUACUCCGCAUCAUUUUCAAAAUCAACAGGUCCAACCAUCUCAGCUAUCCCACAAAACUGUCCACUAGCAUUUACCUGAAGGAUACAAAUAGUACAUUGACAAAAGGUCUUUAAACUAUCAAAUUAAUGACCAGGGUAAGGUUGAGGCAAUGAAAAAGCAAUGUAUCUAGUAUAAUUGUUAAAAAAAAAAAAACAAAAUUAAAUACUGUUUACAUUCAAUAAGGUCACUUUUGGUUACACGUAGUGAGUUCAUUCUUCCAUUAACCGAUUCACAAUGGAUCUUGGUCAUUGAUGUGUAAGUUACACGACCUCACAAGUCCCCAGACCAUCUAUACAAAUAUUUACAGGUGUUUUCCUUAUCAGCACGUUAAAGGCAAAAUUGCCACCACUCACCAGAACGUUGGUUUAAAACAGCCCCUGUACCUAUUAACAAUGACCCACCUUCCACCAGCAACUUAUUCUGAACUCUCUAACUAAAUGCUCCUUGUUCAUAUUCCUCAAAGUUGCUUUUCACUGCUUCUCAUGAACUUAUGUAUCACAUUACCUAACUUACAGUUAUAUGAAGAGAGGGACGUGGCAGAGGGGGAAGGGGGGAAGGGGGUGAGAGAAAGCAUGAUCACAAUAGAUUAUGAGUGUCACAAAAAGGUACCAAUGUGCUUCUAAAUGGAACAGUAUCACAUAUCUAUCAUCAUUCUGUUCUUGGCAUGAUCAGACUCAACCUCAAGCAGAAAAGACAUAAACGGAAACAAACAGGCUUCCAUAAAUCUGAUCCAGACGCUCAAAAAACAUACCGAGAAAAAAAGGAAGACCGGGGAGUUGCCUGUCAUGUCCUUUGCUUCAUGAUAAGCAGCAUCAAGCUUUCUGUUUCCAAGUGGUGUGCUAGCCCAAAUGCCAUACUUAAUGCUCUUGUGAACAUUAUCUUCACUGAAAGACUUGAUCACAAAAAACUUGGCAUUCUCAUAAUCAGUGACAAACUCUGGACUGUUAUACUGGUCAAGCUGAAAGCCAGAAGUAGAUUCAACAUCUUUACGUAUGCCAGAUGAAGCAUUCUCUUCAGCAGAAUUCUUGCUUUUUGGUUUUGAAGCCCUAGGUCCUCUAUUUCUAUCACUUGAAAUUCCUAAAGAAUCAUUAGAGUAGUUCAGAGAGUCCUUUUCUCUAUCACGCCUUCCUCCUUUAUCUAGACCCAGUCUGUUCCGCUGGUUAUCCCAGUGAGAACUGGAACCUGUACCAUAUUUCAUGCCCUGGUAAGAGCCACUAUGUGGAUAAUGUCUAGCAGACGAGCUUGACGCUAACCCCAGCCCUUGAUAUGGCGCCUGCAAUCCAAAAAUUAAUAACUAAAUCAACUGGUCCAGAAGCGAAAUGAGCCAAGUAGUUAAGCAAUUCAACAGAAAAGAAAAAAUACAAAGAGAAAGAAACAAAUUGAAAGUUGAUCUAGUUGCAGCUUUGAACAAAAAGUGCAGGAUGGCAUUAUAAAGAUGACAAAAAUAUUUCAACCUUCCAAACCAAAAAAAAAAGAUAGACAAAAUUAAUAAACUAAAUUAGCAUAGACCUUCAAAAGGAAAGUGAGACAAAAUUAACAAACUAAAUUAGCAUAUCUCAUGUCAUUCGUUUGUCAUUACUCACUUCAGAUAGACAUUUUACAUACUAAUAAACAUGUAGCCAACAAUUACAUUUUACAUGGUAAUAAACAUGUAGCCAACAAUGUGUAAGGAAUAAAAUCUUUAAGCAACUAUGAAGAUGCAUUCUAGGAGUGCAGAAUGCUCAAUAUUUCAGGAAAAGAAAAGAAUUUGAAUGACGUUACUGAUGCAAUUGCCUGCCGCUAGUUUAACCACAAAAUGUAGAUGGCAUAGUCAUUUGGACAUGUGAUUUAAUUUUUUUAAAAAAAAGAAGAGCAUGGGGCUAGACGCAGACCACCCUUUCAGACAUAGAGCAAUAGUGCAUUCUGCUUUUAAAUAAAUCCAGCAAUGACUGUCAAAAGAUUAUUACUCAACUACUAAAAUUUGUAAACUUCCAAACUUAUUCUGUUGGCAACAAACUCAAGAAAUAAGAAUAGAAAAAAUUCCGGCAAUGGUGGAGCACAAAGUAUCAAAAAUAUCAAGUACAAACAAGCAUCCUGGAUGCUACUUUUUCUUAGAUAUUCUUGUCACUUAAACAAAUACAUUUGAGUAACCAAUAAAAAUAGGCUGAUUAAGAUUAAGUCAAGUCAAGAAAUGAAGAAAAGAAUACAUGAAACAUGAAUAAUGCCCAAUUGCAAUGAAUUAUUUCAUGAACAAGAAGAGUUAUUCAGCUUCACGUCAUGUAAAGUUUACAAGAGGACAAGAAAUAUAUUUAAAAAACAAUAAUUGAUAUCAGAAAAAUAGUUCCAAUUAUUCUUCUCGCAGAUAUCACUACAUAGAAUCAAGGAGAUCAUGAGACAACUAACCUGAGCAAGAUUUUGCUCAUAUGGCCCAAGAAUGCCAAUUGGCUGUGGAUAUACCGCUCCUGAUGUUAACUGAGACAUGUACCUGCUUGAUUCCAGGGAACUUGAUUGAUUUGAUAAUCCUUCAGCAGACCCAAAAUCGCCUGGGAACUUAUAGAAACCAAGGCUACUAUUUCCAGAAAGGUCCCCUCCCCCAAAAGAUCCAAAAGGUACAUAGAAGCCUGAACUUGGCCCAAAAAGUGCAUUAUCAACUAAGCUUUCUUGUCCACUAGUUGCUGGUGCCAUUAGAUCAGUCUGUGAGACUGUAAGAGCUGAACUAACAUGUGGUAGUCCAGGUGAAACUGCUGGAAAAUAAGGUGGUGUCACUGGGAUCUGGUGCGGAGAGUAAAACUGGCCAUCAAUCAUUAUUGUGGAGAUUGGACUCGGAAUGGGAGAGAACUGUCCAUAUGCCAUCUGGGUGUCAUAGCCAUAACCAGGAGGGAAAAAUAGUGAUGGAUUUUCAUUAUACAUUCCCUACAUGUAGCAAAAUACCCAAUUUCAUAAACAGAAUAAAAAAGUCUGUCUCAUGCCUCUGUGCAUAAUUAGUCAAGGCAACAAUAUCAAAUUGAUGAAACUCACUGGAGGUACAACAUGUAAGCUGUUAGGAUUAACAUAGUUAGAAUGCUCAUCCCAGUUCCCAGUGCCAUUGUCAAGACCUGAACCAAGGAAAGAUGAAUAAUGAGUUUUAAGUACAACAAAAAAAAUGAUGAACAAUGAAAACUUUAUGUACAUUGGAGAAAAGUACAAGGAACCAAAAAAGCAAAACACAUGCCAAACUAACAAACAGUGAUUCAAAGAUGUGGAAGUUGAGAAAAAUUGGUACACUACAUAUCAGUACUAAAGUAAUUAAGCCCAAUAUUCACCUCAGUAUUACAGUUUCAAACUCGUGACAUGUUGACCAGAACCUUCACAAAGAGCAUAAGAUUCACAAAUUUUAUGCUGCUGAAACCCCAUGAAAAUAUUAAGCAAGAGGGAACAACACCCCUCUCUUGCAGCCAUAAAAAGGAGCAAAAAUAAUUGUAACACCCACAAAGCAAUACAACGCCCCAUGAAAGAAUGGCAGAUACACACAGUUCAACACAGUCGAAAGCUCUGUCAUGAGAACAGAACCAACAAAGAUAUCAUGUAGCCCACAUGUAUGGUCAGAGAAACGUUGAGAAGAAGACUAUAGCUGCUAAAUCAGCAAGAACAGCACUAUAAAAGGACCUAACCUCCAAAGUAAAAACUUUGUUCAUGCGGCACAUCAAGUGGAUGCACAGUGGUAAGAGCUCCACUCUUAUCCAAGGGAACAGGCUGAUCUUUGGCAUUUCUUGGAGCCCCUGAGAUGGCUGCAUCCGGAGAAGGAUUUGCAGAAAUAAUCCUUUCAUCUUUGGGCGAAAGUGGCUGAUAAUAGAUUGAAAAGGAAGUACUAAUAGACCUAAGCUAAUGGAGAAUUAGAGAAACAAAAGAAACACAGUACAAUCAUGAGUUAUAUGGAUUUACCUGUUCUGUCACAUUAUGCAAUUCAAUAGCUCGCUCCCCUGCAUUGAAACCAAAAAAUUCAUAAAGCAACCACACACUUAAUUGGUCAAGUAAGAAAGCAUGAUACCAUUCUUAUUUUCCUCUUUCUUAUCUAUUGCAGUGUGGGAAAGAAUAUUGACCUCAUUCCCACUUUAAAAUCAUCAAGAAUAUAAGUAAUACACCAAUUAUUUACCAGUAAUACAACAGACUAAGCAACCAUUAAGAAACAUUUAGUCUCAAAACGAACAUGUCAUCCCCAGAAGCAUUAGGUACAGGACAUAUAACAAUUGCAAAGUUUUCAACUGUUGAACAAAAUCACCAUGUCAUUAAUAGAUUCCCAACAUCCGCUUAUACAUAAAAGGGCCAUCUGCACAAACUCCACGUUGGAAACAUCCCCCCCCCCAAAACACAAUUCCCAUUACCAAAUAAUAGGGAGGUGGGAUUUAGUAAUUCUAUUAUGCCUGACUGUAAGAGAUUCCAAGAUUAGGCUAAGCUUUCAUCAGAAUGGGGACAAACAUGUGAUAAUACAAGUUCGACGAGAAAAAGCACCGUUUACUUUUUCGGCACACAAAAACAUCUUUCUGAUAAGGGCACAUCAAUCAAGAAAUUUUCUGCUGAGACCUUUCUGAGUAAACUUAACAUACAUGCCACCUUUCCACAUUUACGAAUACUACUGUUAUCACCUUUCCAGGAAAAGAAGCAUGCCAGCGAUAUUAAAACACCAUAAAUGAUCCUCAUUCUAUCUUGAACCCUAAUCAGCAUGCCAACGAUAGGUAAAGAAGCAACUAAAAACUCAAAACUUUCCAGAAAAACCCAAUUCAAGUCGGCCAACGCCCUUGUCAAUCUACCAAAUUCAAUAUCCGUUAUACAAAGCAAGAUAGCAAAGCUACCAAAUUCAAUUCAGAAAAAUAACAGAACCAAGAUUUGCUAUGCAAAAAAAAAAAAAAAAAAUCAUACAUAUACGCGAAAGUAGAGCUAUGAUACAAACCAGGAGACGAGAUGGGGGCGAAUCGAUCGAAGCUCUGUUGACCUGUUUCUUCCAUGAAUUCAAAUCCAAUCGAAACGAAAGCGGAUCGAAGAAUUUCAAUACAAAUACAAGAUUUAUUAUCUAAAAAAAAUCUGUAAAAUGAAGGGGGGCCAAAAAAAGAAACCCUACUUCGCUCUACUGUAGAAGAAUUGCCGUUAUUAUAAUGGAAUUGGGAUUUUGAAGAUAGAGAGGAAGGGGAAGGGGAAGGGGAAGGGGCGGGUUGGCCGGGUGGGGCUGGGGGUGGGGGUGGGGGGUAGUGAGGGGUAGUGAGGGGUCGGGGGAUGGGCAGCAAUGAGGAAUUGAUGGCCGCUGGAGGGGUUUGAAAAUGAAUAGAGGUGAGGGUUUUAGGGUCAGAUUUAUAAAUAACCAAAAACUUGUUGUUUAGGGGUUAGGCUUUUAUUUAUGGAAGCAUCCUUCACUUUUUCGGUUAUUCUUUUUCUGUCUUGAUUUCUUCUUUUUAUCUAGUAUUUUGAUUUUCUUUAGGGAUAAUUUUAGAAACCUCCCCUGAGGUUUCUAACAAUUAUACGGAAAUACCCUCUAAUAUUAAAAAUUACAUUAUCCUCCCCUUGAUUGAUAUAUUUGAUAACAAUCUAAGUUCAUGUGAGAAAAGGUAAUGUUAAAAGUAAUGAAUUAGUCUUAUCAAACAAUUAUAUUUCAAGUUUGGCCUCAUUGAACCCCGUGAGAAAAUGAGUUAAAAUUUGGGGCAAGAAAAAUGGCAAUAAAAAAAGGAAGAAAAAUUGGCACAAAUUUGAUCCACUUAGGACAUGAAAAAAAAUUAAACAAAUAAGCAUUCUGGACAGUAAAGUCCUACAAGAACUGUUGGAAGUGCAACAGUACUUUGUGGACAAUAUAUAACAUAAAAUGCUGGUAAAUGAGCGAAAAACAAAGGCCAAUUUCAACUGAAUGCAAAGGCAACCAGAGAAAAUGUCUUUAUCAAACUUUCAUCAGAUGCGGCACAUCAUUGAAGAUCAAAAACAGAAACUGUGGGUAUGAAUGCAAAGCAAUAAUUAAAAUUUUCGAAAGCAAAAAAAAAUCCUCUCAAGUUAUAUUUUUGUAAUUCUAAGUAUGGUUAUUUUGAGUGGUUUGAUGGCAACGAAACUAAAGAAGUGAGCAGUCAAAGAUGAGAAGAUCCGACACAAGUUCAAAAAUCAAAAAGCAUUGGUAGCAGUGUAAUGUCACCUGCCCAAAUACUAAUAAUGAUCAACCUGAGUUUACGAUCUAUAUUCAUUUUCAUUCAGAUUUUAAAGUCUAUUUGAAAUAUGCAUAAAAUUGUAAGAAUGUACCACCAAAAGUUGACCCUUGAUAGUUAGAUAGUGGUAGAACCAGGAGGGCACAAAAUGGCGGAUUUAAAUCCAUCUACAAUGUAUAGUAGGAGUUUAUCUUCCAUGCCUCAAAAUCACAGAUUCUAAAUGUACAAAACACUGCAAACUAAAUAAACUAAAACAAGUCUUAAAUAUAAUAAAUAAUAAGGUCAUACACUUCCAAGUUGACUGAAUACCCAUAAUAAGCAAUUCAAGACCAAAAAAAAAAAAAAAAAAAAUCUCAACAAGGUCAUCCACUUAAUGGCGUCAAAUUGCAUAUAAAAAUAUUAUACUUGGAAGACUUAUUUUUUCCCCAUAUUUCUAAUAUUUUAGGGACUGAUUUUGUGAGGAUAUUUUAGUCAAUUUACUACUGUUGAAUAUGACAUCUGGUCACAUCAAAGUAAAUGGGGAGGAUAGUGUAAUUUUUUAUAUUGAAAGAUAUUUAUGUGUAAUUCUCAUGGAAUUUGAACUCGGGAAAAGCUUCGGACCAUAGGACUAUAAUGAUUGUGAACUCCCCCAAAUGGAGAAAACUUGGGACUCGAUAAACCUAAGCCCCUUUGUAACCAUUUUUUGUAAUUACGAGAACUCAAUUCAAACUUUGGGAUACGCAGUCAAAAUUUUAUUAAUGAGUUUUUACAGAAUAUUUUUAUAUUUUCUUUGACUAUAUUUUUCAAAUACCUUUUUAUUCGUAUAUAUUAAAUCGUUACAUUAUAUUUUUCUACAGAAAAUAUAAAAUAUAGCAAUCCAAUUGAGAUGGGAGUAACUUUUUAUUGGUUCAAUGACAUUUUAGUGUUCAAACUUAUUUAUUUGUGUUAAUGAGUUUGAAAUUAUAUUUAAAUUUGGCUAAUUUGUUUAUUGAGGCAAAUCUAAUUAAGUUUUAUCGAAUCAAAUUCAAGUCUAGCUCGAAUACGUUCGAAUUUUACACCGAUAUAUUGAUGUAGUGAUGUAGUGACAGGCCAAACAUUGUUAGAUUCCUUGCAAAGCUCUAAUGCAUGAUUUGAAUACAAAUUCAUCCCAAACAUAAUCAUAAACCAAACCAUAGGCCACGAUAUAAAUGAAAUCAUAAUCAUAAACCAUAGACCAUAACAUAAAUGAAGAUGUUGUGCUCCAUGGUGUAAAUACAAGUGAGACAGACAGAAUACUUGCACCAUACUGACCUUCGUGGUCAAUUUCUUUUUGCACACUAAUCAUAACAUGAAAAACCAGUCUGUAGGUUGGGGACGAACCCCAUCUACAGUAAAAAAAAAUAUUUCAGAAAAGGUGUUAAAGCACUUUACAGUGAAAAAAUUCAAAAGAAGUGUCGGAACACUCUUUUUGUCUAAUUAAAUUUGUAUAUCUUAUAGGUUCUUUAGGCUCCCAUCCCCUUCCCUCCGGCCCUCAAGUCAUUUCGCUAUUAUGUCAAAGUCAAAGAUGGAAAGAGAUAGAAGAUUUUAGUUACUUUUCAUUAUUGAUAUGUACUGUAAAAGGAAAGGAGGGGGAUUGAAGUUUUUUCUUUAAGAACACAAUUGCAUAAUAAUAAGGAGAUUAACUCAAAUAGAAUUUUACAAAUAAUUUAUAAUAAGAAUGCUAACAUAUAGUUAGACUAAAUUCACAUCAAAUUUUGGACUUUUAAUUUUAGGAAUUUCAAAUAUAUGUUAUUUCCAUCGCUGGAUGAAUGCCUAUUACCAAGACAAAGAAAUUGGUAAAUCUAGAAAAAAUAACAACCAAUAGGAAUUGGGAAAUUUGAAAAUAAUAAUAAUAACCAAAUAGUCCUAGGGUGACAAGAAAUAUAGACCCUAGAAGAGGCAUAGGCAUGAAGGCAUCGUAAUGAUUGGGUUUGAAGGGAAAAAUAAUAAGGGUGCGUUUGAUAAAAUUGAAGUUUGAAAUUUGAAAUCUGAAUUCUGAAUCUAUUAAGUUAUUGAAUUGUUAAGUAUUAAAUCUAAUACAUUUGAGUGCAUAUCACAUUCAGUGAUAAGUGAACAGUUUAUCACUUAAUUUUGGGAGCAAAUUUUGUUUAGAAAAUUCAAUGCCACUUAAUUAAUUCAGAUAUUCAAUUUUUGGUUGUCAAAUGGUCUGAAUACGUUAAGAUCUGAAUCUAUUAAAUUUAAGUGCUGAAUUGUGUUAUCCAACAGGUCUUACAUAUACUGAUAGUGUAUAUGGUUGGAUGCAUGACAUAUAUAAGACUUGGAUUUCAAAUUUUAAAUUUACAUUAAUUGUUAUGCAUCCAAACCUGAGAAUAUAUAUAUAUAUAUAUAUAUAUAUAUAUAUUAUCAGUGUAUGGAAAAUUAAUUUUGAAAAUAAAUAGAACUAUUGCUAAAUCUAAUCCAAAAGAUACUAUAAACAAGACGAUGGACAUAAAAGCACAUAGCAUUCAAGAAUUAUUCAACAAUCAAAGUAGACAACUGGAUAAAUGAUUUUUGUUUUCUUUGAAUAACUUCACCCAUGCCCAAUUUUCUACUGUCUUGUGAAACUAUGUAUAUGGCCUUACAAGUAGGAUUAGCCAUUGAGUAUCUUUAGGCCGAAUGUAUUAUUAUUGAUAAUUGCAAAACUUAUAAUAAAACAAAGAUAUAGUUUAAAAACCUCAAACAAAAUAAGACAAGGUAUCGUUUAAUGAGAUGAGUUAUAAUUUAUAUACCACCCAUAAUCUCACCUUAAAUAUCAUAUGACGAGAAGAGUGUACUUCGCACGAGUUAAGAGGAUACCUCUCAAUUCAACAUAUCCUUAUGGAUCAGGCACGAAGGAGUUUCCAUGUUGCAAUUUCAUUCUGAAAAUACGAAAAUUAGAAACUGAGUUAAGAAUUAUUAGCUAUUUUUGGAGUGAGUGAAUUAAUUUGCCAACUUUCAAAAAAAAAAAAAAAAACAAAUUGCCUCUUCUUCUAGGACCAAUUUGUACAGCUAAACCUUUGGGAUUUAAUGGGAAAAAGAAAACAAAAUGGUUUUUUUUUAAAACCAAUUGUUCUAAUUUUACAUCUAUUCCUUAUUUAGAUAUUGUCCUAUUUUAAGUAUUUUUAUCAUCCUAAAACGAAAUAAAAAAAACAGGUUUCUUUUUGUGCCAAUUUGUUGUUUUAGUACGAGUGAAAAUGAAAAGCAGCCUCAUUUUGGUUUUGUACAAAAGCCCAAUUCGUUUUCCAGCUUUUUGUGAUGAAGGAAGAACAAAAAAAUCAGAGCCCGUCUGGAUUGCUAUUUUCUAGAAUUUUUUUUGUAGAAAUAUUUAUUGUAGCAAUUUGAUAUAUAUAUAUAUAUAUAUAUAUAUAUAUAUAUAUAUAUAUAUAUAAAAGGUAAAAAGGUGAUUAAAAAAUGCAUUCACGACAAACAUAAACAUUUUUUGAAAACAAAUGACAAUCCAAAGCGGGAAUUAAGUAGGAUACUCCAAGGGAACUCCAUCACUGGCCUUCUUCAGGUUCUUAGGUAGCCAUCCACAAUGAUGUACGUCACCCUAUAAUCUAUCCGUUUGGAGCUUCUGUGUUGCAAUGGUAAAAUAGUUAUGUUACAGACACUAUGAGUUUGAAAGCUAUUCUUUCAACACUCCGUGAGGCUCAGCAUAUCUAGUCCAUUUUGCAACUCUACAAAUCUGCUUCGGGACAGGAAAUAAAUUUGGACAAAUCUGCUAUAGUUUUUAGCAGCAAUACUAGCCCAGAGGUGCGGCAUAGGAUAACCAGUUAUCUUGGUAUUAAAGAGGUUAUGGCACAUGACAAAUAUCUUGGCCUCCCAAUAGUUAUUGGGCGCUCAAAAAGUGCAGUUUUCUCAUCAAUAAAAGAUAGAAUAUGGCAAAAGAGACAUGGUUGGAAUGAACAGCGAUUGUCAAAGGCAGGGAAGAAAGUAAUGAUCAAGGCUGGGGUUCAGGCUGUCCCUACAUAUUCUAUGUCUUGUUUCAAAAUACCUUGAUUCAUUGCUCAGUGGCACUCAGUUAAUGAUAAGUAAUUUUUGGUGGGGUGAUGGAAUAAAAGGGAAACCUAUUCAUUGGGUUAGUUGGGAUAAGCUCUGCACAAAUGAGGAUGGGUUUCAGGCAGUUGAAGUUGUUUAAUCUUGCGGUGCUACCAAAGCAGGCUUGGCACAUUGGCACACAAACCUCCACACUUUUACUUCAAAUUUACAAAGCUAAAUACUUCCCUAACUUUGAUUUUUUCCUUCAAGCAACAGAAGGUUCUCUCCCCUCCUGGACUUGGAGAGGGAUCUGUGAAGUUUGCAAAUAUAUAGUAGCAGGCAGCAGAUGGCGAGUCAGGAAUGGAAUCAAUAUCAAAAUUUGGCGUGACAGGUGGUUACCUUGACCUUCAACUUUUAAAGUGAUAUCUCAUUCUGAAUCAUUGCCUGAUGAUUCAACUGUGGAUUCCCUAAUAGACAGUACUAAAAGAGCUUGGAAGUUGGACCUAUUGCAAAACCUUUUUUGGCCUGAUGAGGUUGAUCUGAUUAAGAGUUUCCCAAUAGGAGAUUCUCAAAAUCGGCCUACCAUCUAAUCAAACAACGGUAAACAGAUUGACAAAAUGUAGCUUCGUGCAGCAAUAGUAUGGUGACAAAUACAUGGAAUAGAUUAUGGAAGCUGAGUUUGCCAACAAAAAUCAGAAUUUUUCUGUACAGACACUUGCCGACAAAGGUGAAGCUUCUAACGCGUGGGGUAUCGCUGGAUUCAUCUUGAGUUGUUUGUCAAGCUCCAUUUGAUAACAUGAAUCACACCUUCUUUUCUUGUCCAGUAGUUAUUCAGUCAUGAGCACUCAGCCAUUUGUCUACAAAAAUUCAUUUGGAUACCGCUCAGCAACUUCUUUUCAACAACAAGCCACACAAACUCAUUGGAAAAAUCCUCAAAUGGACUUUGUCAAAGAAAAUUUUGACGGGGCCACUUUUCCUACAGAAGGCUUCCCUGGUACUGGGGUAAUGGUGCAUGAUGAUGCACACAAUUUCAUAGUUGGAUUGUCUAAGAAGAUCCCAGCUAUUUUAGCUCCAAAGGUGAUCGAAACUUAUGCAGCAAAAUUUGCAGCUUGAUUGAAUUAGGGCUGCGUUACGUUGUUCUCGAAGGUGACAUUCAAAAGAUUAUAAAAAUGCGUCAGCAAUGUGAUUCUGAUGAUUCAGCAUGUAGAGGAUUGAUUGAUGGUGCCUUGCAAUUUAUGCAAAAUUUCACCAAGUGGGAAGCUAUAUGGAUACCACAAUCUUUGAAUGGUGCAGCUGAUAGUUUUGCUAGGAAUGCUUGUACAGAUAUGGAUUACUACUUGUGGAAACAUUCACUUCCAUUUUUCGUAUUGUCCGCACUCUAACUAUGUCUUUUUCCAUUUUAAUAAAACUUCAUGCUUUUUUUAUAAAAAAAAAUCGCUAAUAUUUCUAAAUCUAUCACUAUUUUAUCUCUUUAACUUUGAAAUUUGGGUAUUUUCACCUCUUUUUUUCUAGACACGCAAACAAAUUUUUAUGAAACGGCUCAUACAAUAUAAAGUAAUGAUUGUGAGAGUUUUAUAAGUACAUGUAACUUUUGAAAUUAUAGUGUCUAUUAUGCUACUAGAAUCCAUUGCAAUAUUAGCUAUAAUUUUCCUCUCUCUCUCUCUCUCUCUCUAUUUGAGGGGUUUGCUUAAGAAACAAAAAGUUGUCAAGAUAUCUUGGAGCUAAUUAAUUUAGCAUUUAAUCGUCCUACAAAUGUAUGUUCAAUAUCUAAUUUAUACACAUCUUCAAGUUUUGGAACAACAUUUUGUACUUGGUAUAGUUAACAAGUGUCGUAAUAAAUGGAUGCAAAUUGGAAUUUUUUUGGGACUUCCUCAACUGCAAUUGCUGAACCCCCUUGUUUACCCUCUUUCAUCAAAAUUUACAACUUCCCACCACAGCAGAUGAAAGGGGAACUGUCAAAUCGUCAUCAAGUUUUGUGCUGAUAGGGUCAGAUUCCACCAAUCCAGCAACAACUGACACUACAGAGAACUUGUAUGAUAUUUCCCAACUUCCCUCAGUGUACACAAACCUCAAGAAUAGUGCAUGUACCUAUUAUAGUAACCUUUUCCUCAGGCAAAGCACAAAUUGCCAGAUGGAUGCUAAGAAACUAGCUGCUACUAUUAUAGUAACCUUUUCCUCAGGCAAAGGAUUUGUUUUUAUUGUAUGAUAAUUUCCAAGCUGCCAAACCGCAUCCCCACAAUAGCAGCUAUACCUGGAAUAUGAUAAGAAUACAAAUCCUUAAAACUUGCCAAUUUUGUGUAAAAAGUUUGAAACAUAAAUUAUGAGAGUUGAGCAACAGACAGUUCUUGUUUCUCCUGUGAAAAAAAAAAAGAAAAAAAGAAUGCGUGGAGCAAUAACAAUGAUUUGAUUGAGUAAAAUAACUUAAGAUAUCAAGAAAGGAUAAAAUGGAUCCGGUUAGUCAUUUAUCAAAGGUUGCAGACCGCUGCAAUAGCCACCGGAGAAGUUCUCCAAUAGAGAGCACAAAGUUAGCGUGAUUGUGGUUAGAUAACACAGCAUUUUCUUAUCAAAUCCUUCAUCAAAUCUCUCAUUUCAAACGAAGUCUUGAGGAAUAUCCUGAUGUACCAAGCCAAGCAGAGUACAAGAACCAGUUCAAGGUGUAGAGAUACAGAUAAUUAAACAAUCGGUUGAGGAGAAAUUACGUAGCUCCUUUUAGGAUAAGGGAAAUUUUUUUAAGAAGUGGUCAUCUUCCCAAUUUUUUUCAUGACAUUACUGCAUCAAUUAAGCAAUAUGGUCUGACAAGUGGACCGGAUUACUUAGCUCGACUGGUUCAGCCAAGUAUCUAUUAGUUUGUCCGGCUUAAUUAUUGAGUGAGUCAAACUUGAUCAUGAUUUGGUUCAAUUUAGUGAAAACGAAUAAAGUUGCAUUGCUUUCUCAUUUUGCCGCUUAUUAUAUUAUUUUUGAUAGAGUUGUUUUUACCUUUACUGUUUUCUAACACUUGAUUCUGCUUGAUAUGAGUCAACAAAUGUUAUAAACAUGUGAAUCCAAUUUAAUUUAUGUUAGAACCACUUACUUAUGUACUUUUUUUUCAUAGUUUUCGUAAAAAUAUAUAAAAAAAAAGGUAUAACCAUUUGACUUAGUUGGUUGAACCAAUUAAACCAAUGAACCAUGAAAAAAUCAUUGCUUAAUAUAGAGCUGUGACAUUUGAUCAAUCAUCCUUGCAGCCAAGUUUUCAAGGAUAGAGUCAGUCUGCCUUUUUCACCUUACACAAUCAGAGUUGUAUUGCAUGAUUUCGGAUGAUUCUAUUAUGGUUUAGAUUCAAGUUUCUAUCAGAGUCGUAAUUCAAGCUCAAUCUCGAAUGAUUUUGCCAUAGUUUAGAUUCAAGUUUCUAUUAGAGUUAUAUUUUGAAAGGGUUAAAAAUAAAAAAGCCCUUGUGAUAUACCUAAUUAACAGAAAAGCUUUCUAUGAUUUCAAAACAUUCAAAACGGCACUUCAUAUUUUGAACUAAAUUGUAAACUAACAGAAUUCAUUAAACUUAACGAAAAUGACGAUUUAGACCGUUAAACUUAACGGAUUCCGUUAAGUUUAUCGUUAAAUUUAUCGAUAAGUUUGGGGAAAUACUUUAUGUAUUUCACACUAGUUACAAUGGUAUAUAAUCUAUCUAUAGGCUUACAACAUGAUAAGAUAACAAAAAUAAAAUGAUAAUUAAUCUAUUCUAUUUCUAUCAAUGAUAAAUAAUCCAUUUUAUGAUCAUCAUCAGAUCUCUCAUUGAUAUACAAUUUAAAAUUUAAAAAUAGAUAUCUAUAACUCACUCAAACACAGUACAAAGGUUGCAUAUUGCUGAAAUUGCCAUGGGUGAAGUUCUCUAAUGAAAAGCACAUGCUAAGGUGGCUGUGGUAAGGUAGCGUAUUGAUCCUUUGAGAAUCUCCCUGAUGCAACGAUGAGCCAAGCACGAUUUGAGAAGCUAGUCGAAAGAUGUAGAAAAAUUAUUAAUUGGUGAAAAACAGCAUAGAAAAAUUGUUUGAUGAGUUUUCAUACAAUUAAUUUUCAUUGGCGGUAUUACUGCCUAAUGUAGAUUUAUAGUAGUGUUUUGAAAACGUGAUCAAAUCAGAUUGUCUCUAGUGUUUUUUUUUUUAACCAUCAUGGCUGGUACUCAAAAGCUGCACAAAAUGCCCUAAUUAAUCGUGUUUACCAUCAUGGCUGGUACUCAAAAGUGCUAUAAUGGUCCUCUGUACAAGCUUUAAAUAAAUUAUAACGUGUUAGUCCGAUAUAUUCAAAUGGUUAAAAAUCUUUAACUCAACUUUGAAAAUGUGGUCCUCAUUUUAGAACAAGGGUUUUAUCCAAAUCUUUUUUCCCAAAAAUUAAAAAAAAAAUUACCAUGGCUGGGUGGUAAACAUUUCACUGCUCCACAUUCAAUCAAGAGUUACACUGAUCAAGUGCUAAGGUAGAAAGAAGAAACUAAAUUGCUGAAAAUUAGAGGGGGGUUGGGGGGGGGUGUUGUUGGAAUUGAGCAGUAUUCCAAUAAAAGAUUUCUUGUUAUUUCUCUACACAUUUUCUUCAAUUGUAGAGAGGACAAUGCAAAAAAAAUCUCCAACAAUUGGCUUCUUGGCUAUGCCCAUUUUCUUGGAAAUUCUUGGUGCUUUUGAUAUAUUCAAGAAACCAUAGCUGAAUUUAUAUAAGAUCCGAGUUGAAGUAGAGUGUUGCCCUUAGUUGUACAAUUAGUAGGAUUGGUAAAAUGUCCAUUCAUUCUUGGUUCAAAAACUUUCUAGUUUGGGAAAGCUUUUGGAAAAGAAUUAAUAUGCGCAUAGUACUACAAACUUUCUAGCUGAAUUUAUAACACAUCCCACUUUAUUUUGUUCCUAGAUCAAAAUACUAAUAGAGGCUUGGCAACUAAUAGGAUUUAUGAAAUAGUUGUACCAAGAUAGGGCUGUUAAAUUCAAUAAAGAAUACACGGCAAUAAGAAGUGGCACAAAAAAUGAGAUAGGGAGUAAAACAGAAAAUCCUUAGCAUGCUCUUCUUUCUUUCUUUGUUUUUUUCAACAUGUUUGAACCGAUUUCAUUUAUUUGGGUUAAGUUUUUCACUUAUUAAGUUAGUAUUAGCAAGAGGAUAGGUUAUAAAAGUACUUUGUUUCGUGUAAUUUUAGAACAACAAAAUUUAUAAUGUGUUACUAGAUUAUUGCCUUAUGUUAAUUUGUUUGCUAAAAUCAAGAUAAAAAGCCAAUCUUAGAAUUUUAUUUAUAAGACGACAAAGAGUCCAUAAUAGCAAAAUUAAUACAAAUGAAUCACAACUCUUAUCCACCCACAAAUGGUAGAAAUUUAUAACUAGCCCAAAGCUGAUGGACUUGGUCAUCAAACUUUUUAAUUUAUAUAGCUCAAGUGAAAUGAUAAACCAACUUUUGUUGCCGAUUCUCUCUCUUUUUUUUUUUUUUUGGAGAAACAGAGGUAAAUAAUUAGUAAACAGAGGUAUAUAUAAUAUAUGUGCUAAAUGUUAUUCAUCCUUUAUAAGUCCAAUAAAACAAAGAAAAAAUCAGCAAUGUGAAUUUGUGUUAUGUUCCAAAUCCUUGUACUAUAUAAGAAUGAGUUUGGGUCAAAGAAUGGCUUUGAAUUUCAACCACAAGAGUAGGGGUAUUUUGGGAUCGUGAGGUUGUUUUGAAUGUAGUUAUAGUAUUGGGUACUACUUUAGAUAGCAUGUGUAUUAUUGUAUUUACUGAAAUGUCCUUGUAUUCUAAAAGAUGCAGUGAUGAUUUGUUCAAAGGUUUGGGUAGUUUGGGAAUGUGAGAUUAUUUGAUCAUCUUUUCUACAAUGGGUACAACCCAUGAAUAGCUUCUUUAUUGGUGUAAUUACUUCAAUGUCUUUGCAGAGACAUUCAUUUUGGUUUGUAUCAAUUAUUACUGUUACUUUGCUAUUAUAACUUGAAGAACUUCAAACGUCAUUUUCAUCUCAAUUAAAGUAAGGACAAGGUGGUUUAUUAAGGAAUUUAUGAUUAAGCAUUAGUUUCAAUUUCAAUUCUUCAAAUAUUUGCCCCUUUACAUUCUUCCGUUAUGUUCCUUUCGUCUUCCGAUAAAUACUUAUUUGUAUUGUCAUUAUACUCUGGAUUUCAAUAUGGUUCUCUGGUGAAGUUAUUCUUGGUGGUUUAACUUGAGGUGAGGUUUCAUUCUUUUUUUUAAUGGUAUGAUUUGCUUUGUAAAAUCGUAAUUUCUAUUGUUAGCUAAAUGUUUUCAUUCCAAAAUUGGAUACUCUGUUAGCGCAAUUUAAUGUUGAUAUUAUUGUUUCCCCACAAAAUUGGUUGUUCUAUACAAUUUAAAUGAUGUGAUUUUGUUGGAAUAGGUUUGGAGAUACAAAACUUUCUCUUUUGGUCUACUUACAUUGUGGAGGCUUUUUGAUCAAAUCUGCCUUCUCUCUUACAUAUCACGCGCACCUUAAUGUAGUAGUUGCAGAAGCUAGUAUUGUAGCAGUUUCAAUUAAUUAUCGGCUCGCCCUUGAGCAUCCUUUGCCUAUUGCUUAUGAAGAUUCUUAGAUUGCAGUCAAAUGGGUUGCCCAUCGUUCAAAUGGCGAGGGUCCUGAGGUAUGGCUUAGGAAUUAUGCUAGCUUUGAUAGGGUGUUUUUUGGUGGGGAUAGUGCUGGUGGCAAUUUAGCACAUAACAUAGCAUCAAGAGUUUGGCUGGAGAUACUAGACGGCUUCGAUCUAGAUGUGAUUUUUCUCAAUUAUCCUUAUUUUUUGGGAAAAGAUCUAAUUAGUAUAGAGUUAAUGAAAUUACAGGUAAAGGCCUAUGUUAAGGGCAUUUGGCAUUAUGUUCACCCAAAAUCUACGGGGGUUGAUGAUCCAUUGCUGAAUCCUCGGAUGGAACCAAACCUUUUGAGGCUAGGCUUUGUCGUUGCUAAAAAGGUUGGCUAAUUUCAUCAACAAGAAUGUUGUGUAGAUACAUUUUUAAGUGGAUAAUUACUUUGUUUAUUGCCAUUAAUCAUUUGGAUAUUUGUUUAAAGUUUAUUUAGUUUUGUUAAUGAAAAUCUCCUAUACAAGUGUUUGUUUCAAAAUAUAUGAACUGAGCAAGAUAGCAUGCAUAAUUUUUUUCUCCAUCUUCCAGUAUAAAUUAGAUAUUUUGUUACUUCAUAUUGUUACUCAAUAUACGCGAGUUUUUUAAUAUUUGCUUGAACUACUAUAAAAUCUUCUUCAACCACAGGCACCAAAUACCCGUGCGAUGCGCGGGCAUUUCCCUCCUAGUAUUUAAAAAUGUGUCUGACAUGAUGUUUGGGUGAACCACAUAAAUCAAGUACCCCUAAAACAGGUAAGUAAUGUAGAUGUGGGCACUUGGACUUGACAAAUACUUAAUGUACAUAUGAGCACUUGGAUUUGACAAUUAACAAUUGACCCAAUUUAGAAGCUAACUUGAUAAUUUGCUUGAAUUCCAUUGUCAAUUUUCAAGUCACAAAUCGAGAGGGUGACAAUUAACUUGGUCAGUUUUCAAUUGUCAAAUUACUGUCAAGUGUAGUAGCUAAAUUUUUUUGUCGUUGAACUAGCUAAAGCGCUAUUGGGCCUUUGGCCCGGUGGUCGGGAGGUCAAGGGUUCGUCCCUUGACUCCCACCAAAAAUUUGACUCCCACCAAAAAUUUGUUACAAUAUGUGACGGUCUUAAUUGGUCAUUUUCGAUAGAGUUUCUACUCACAUCGAGUCUCUUUUUCCCUCCUCCUAGAUUAGAUUAGAUUAGAUUAUAGGAAUUCUAUCGUUGUGACAAAAAAAAAAAAAUUCCAUGCUUCCUUCCGACGCAUCUUCAAUUAUCAAGCUUAUUAAUGAAAAGGAAGACUUUUUAUUCAUUUUGGGCACAAUAAUUGAAGAUUUUCAUUUGGCUUUAUUAGAUCAGUACAUUGUCAAUGUACUUCGGAUUUCAAGAGAGGCAAAUAAGGUUGCACACUGUUUAGCUCAUCAUGCAAAAACUCUUUAACUUUUUUUCAAUUUGAUCCACUAAAUGAGUUUAACUCGAGUUGACCCCGAAUUGAAGCAUAUACUAGAGGUCAAGUAAAGUUUUGUUCAUGGACAACUUGAUUUAGCAUAUAGUAGGAUAAACUUGUAUUUUUAGUUUUUUACUUGAAUGCGAUCUUUUUUCUUAGCCUAAAUAUUGAUAUUAAUUAUGGAACUUAUUCAUUUAUUGGGCUAGGAGAAUCCAAUGUUUAAUCUAAUUCAUUUAUUUUUGAAUCGGAGAUGAUACAAUAUGCCUAUAUAUAAAUUAUUUGUUAUUUUUUUAAAGGACAAAAAGGUGUACAAUUGAUGUUCACGUUACAUGUCCAAUAAAACAACCGACAAACGAAGCAAGAUGAUAUUGUGACAUGUGUGCUAUGGGUUCACGGAGCACUGUGCUCUGUACAAUCUAAAUUGUAAUAGUUAACCUCCUACGUUUUUGUUUUGAAAUGGGUAAUUGGGCAAGUAAUAAUUCUAUCUUUCUCCUGACUAGAGCUAUAAACGAGUCGAAUCGAACCGAGUAUCUCAUGUUUGAACUUUGUUCAUUAAAUGAUUCGAAUAACAUUCGUGUCAUUCGUUAAUUUUCGAACUCCAAACCUGUGUUCGUGUUCUACUCGUUAAGCAAAAUUUAUGUUCGAGUUCGAAUUCGUGUUCGGAUCAUUUAACAUAAACGAGCCGUUCACGAAUAUGCUCGAAAUGCUUGAAUUCAAAUUAUUUUAAACCUUAAAUAUGCGAUACAAAUCAUUAAUCAUUCUAAAAAACAAUUAAAGUACUAAGUGACUAAAUUCUAUUAUUCAUUAACAAUAUAACUAAUAUUAACAUAAAAAUAACAAAUAAAACCCUCCAAAUAAUAGUCUAGCCAUAAAAUUAACCCUAAAAUUUGUCAAAUGAUAAUUAUGUCCAUGUUCGCGAACGUUCGUUAAAACUCGCGAACAUGCUCGUGUUCGCUCGAUUAUUCACCGAACAAAAAAAUUCGUUCGAACUCAAUUCGUUUAAAGUUUCGAACGAGUUUUUCACGAACACGAACGUGACGAAACGAAUUGAGCUAUCGAACAGUUCGGUUCAUUUAACAGCUCUACUUCUGUCUCUAAAAUUCAUUCUCUCUUUUUUUUUUUUUUAAAAAAAAAUCUUUUUCUUUUGUACUUUUCUUUUAUUUUUUUACCCUCUCGCGCCCUUCCCCCCACACUAUUUCUUGUCAGAUAUAAGAUUUGAAUUUUAAACCUAAUAGCGGCUAGAAUUUUGAAAACCCUUCCCUAACCAACCACUGGGGGGAGGGGGGUGAGAACUUUGAGAACACUCUCCUAACCAUUAGAUCAACUCUAAUGAUUCAUUCUCUUUUUCUUCUCUCUAAAAUUCCCCUAACCAAAUUCUUGUUUAAUUCACCAUGAGAGAGACCAGAUAAUCCGGUCUUUCCCCGGGAGAAAGAGUCACUUCCCUGGUUUUAUUUUUAUUUUUUUACUAAUCUCAGAAGUCAAAUCCAAAUUUUUCUUUGAAUGUGAAGGAAUUUUUACUAUUAGAAGACAUGCAUGCAGAUAGAUUUGUUGUUUCACUUGAUUUUAUUUGUGCCAAAUUGAUUUCAGAUCGAUCUAUAUAUAUCAUAUUUAAUGUACUUACCGCUAUGAGUGCAAAUAUUUUAUCCAAAAAAAAAAAAAGGUAUUUGGACGAACCGAACGGAUAAAAUCCCCCUAAAACAAAUCAUAAAUUAGACCGAGUAAAUUGUCUCCGUUUAGAAGCAAUUUACUCGGUCAAUUGUCAAUUGUCAAUGGCCAAUUGCCAAUUUACUUGGUUCAAUUAUUGGUCAAGGAGUCAAUUUUCCGCCGUCAAUUCAUUGGUCAAUUGGAGAGCCGUAAACGAUCCGAAGUAAGGCGGAAUACGUGUUCCAUGUUUGAACUGUUCAUUUCCAUUAAAAGCUUGUUUUUGUUUUAAAGAAGUUCAACGUGAAACUCGAGUUAAUAAAAAAAAGAAGAAGUGAUACUCGAGUUUGAACUGACAUUUUUUUUUUAACAAAAAUAAGCUUAAUUUUUUUUUAAAAAAUAGCUUUUUAGCAUUUUUUUGGUAAAAAAAAAAGCCCUUGUUUGAGUUGAAUUUUUUUUCAUGAAAUUUUUUUUUGAAUUUUUUGCAAAUAUUCCCUCUAUAUAUUUUUUUAAUUACUUUUUUUACCUCGCAUAUGCCACAUCUUAAAAACCAGCUAUAAAAAAUGCAAUCUGAACUAAUCACAAAUAAAUGAGAAAUGCCACCAUGAGGCAAUAUUUUGUGUACCUCCUUGUUCAAUAGCCACGCAAUCAUUCACCAAAAGGCGUGUGUUCGUUCAUUUAAAUUCAUUAGUUAAGCUUUUAUGUGGUGUUUCAACUCAAUUGGUUCAAUCGACCGAAAAAGCCGAAUUCUGAGUUGGUCAGUUUAAGCAUCAAUUUUGAAUUAAAAUCAGUUGGAUAACAGAUCUAAGAGAAUAAACAUGCGCAGAUAGUUAUGAAGUAGCUCGUGUAAUUCAUUAGAUGUUAUGGUCUGUGAUCAACAGUGUAAUAUUUUAUAUUUCGUAACUCUGUUAAAUCUAAUGAUUUUUCAAAUCAAAUAUAUGUGUGACAUAUUUUAUAUAUUUUCUGCCAUUAGUGUAGAGUUCUUUGUCAAACAAAUCAUAUUGGACGAUUUUUCACUAGUUUAUUAAUAAUAUUGACUUUUGUUCUAUUUUAAAAAAAAGUAUCUAUAUUCAAUUGAAAUUCAAAGAGAUUGGAUAUAGAGUAUGUAUGGAUUGGACUACUUUUGACAUGCACAUUUUUUAUUGUGAAAUUUACAGUAAUACAUUCUAAAAACACUCUAUAAUAUAUACUCAAAAUGUUUUAAAUACACCUAAUAAAAAUACAAAAAAGAAUUAAAAAUACCAAAUCCUACCCUCUCUUUCUUCUUUCACUCAUCACCCACCAUUGCCAUCAUCGCACCCUCUCCCCUCUCCUCCCUCUUCCUCUUCACCUUCCUAAUUCCUUCGCUAGGAAAGGGAGAGGGAAAGACUAACAAAGGAAGGAGGAAGGCGAACGGGAAAAGGGAGGACAGAGAGGAGGGGAGAGAGAUGGUGAUGUGUGAAGGUGGUGAUGUGUGGCGGUGGCGGCAGUGGCAAGGAAAGUUAAAAAUUUUUUGAAAACAUUCUAAUAAAAUUUAAAAAUUUAAAAAUAUCCCAACAAAUAAUUAUAAUGACAAGUUUUUCUCAUGUAGUGCUACAGUAUCAUUUUUAAAAAAGAAUUAAUCCAUAAGGAGUAAUAGAUUUAAAGGAUUGCCAUCUAAAAGGUGGAUCUCAAAGAAGUUAGAUGAAGCACAUAAAGCAACACAUAUCCAUUUACGAAGAACCAUUUCAAUUUUCCAAAAUCAAUUGUUUGGACCAACAAAACAAUUUUUCAAAUUUAACACACUAUUGUCUCUCUGCCAAAUAUUUUGACUAAAAUUUUGCCUGAAGUAAGGGGUUAACUUCACUUGUACCCUUCGAUUAUACUUCACUUUGAUCUUUAAUCUUUAAAGUGGGACUAAUUUAAUCCUUGAAGUAUAAAUCUAUCCAACUUAGUAUCUGCUGAACAUCAUCUUGAAAUAAAACAUAGCCCAUCAAUUUCUUCUGCAAACUUGAACUUUACCAUUGCCAACAUCAGGUUCAAAAUGCACCCAAUGGAAGUCUUAUAUCCGUCAUAAAAAAAAAAAAAAAAAUUUUAACGUAUGUUCUAUAGCAGGAUAGGCAUUUAGAAGCUUUAUGGUCUAAAUACUCCAAGCUUGCAUUUAACAAACUCCGUGGAUGGCAUCAAGGAUUGUUAUUUUUCCCUUUUUUGGGUAUAAGAAAAAUGCUUUCUGUGUCGAAGGAUGAUGGUCUAACUUCAAAUUUGAUGCAAGACAACACUGGCAUCACAAUUGGAUCAGAAUAAUGUUAAAUCAACUAAAACUUGAAAAGCCUCUCUUGCUUGAAUUGACAAUAAGCUUAUCAGUUAAUUCGACUGGUGAAAUGGAAGCCAGAGUCAUAAGGUGGCUUAAAGGAUCGAUAUCCCGGCAAGUGGGAAUUAUCAGUAUUUUGCAAGGCCAUUGAAUGGAAGGGGGUUACAGAAGGUGCUUGUUCUGCUGAAACCCGUGCUUCUGAAAUCAGAUGCCAGUUUUGCGAUUCCAGUUGCGAUGCUGGCUGUGGUAUGCUGACACUUCCUUGCAUAAGCUGCUCCAGAGAGGCAGAUUCAGGCUCAUGCAAUGCCCAACUUGGAGUUGACAGAAGAGAGAGAGCACAUGGCAAAUUUUGCGAUUCAUUCAAGUGAGAUUGAGCAUGUCCAGGAGACACAUCCACUCCUACAAGCAUUCAACAGGCAAUGAGGAGUCCAAUCAUGUAUUAGAAGACACAAACAGCAACAGGUAAAAUAUACUCAGUACAAGAAGUUACUGUAGUUUGUUUUGUUUUGUUUUUCUAAAUAAUCUCAGUGAUAGGAUUAUUCUCUGAUGAAAAAGACAAGCCACUGAGCAUACUUCUUUAUUCAAGUCUGUUAUGAUUUUUGUUUGUUUUGGUUUUAUGCCACAUGAAUAGCAAAUUCUAGUAAAUUGAUGAAAAUUGCGAGCUUCAAUGAAGUGUAAACUUAAAAGGUUGUAAAAUAUCAGCCUGGAAGGGUUACAAGAAACUCCCUCACGGUAGAAGAUGGAUCAUUCAAAGAAAGGGGAAAGAUUCAACAGAAGCAUUAAUAGACUCCAUGUAGAUAACCGGGCUAGAUGUACUGAAAAACGUGUAGAAAACAAGGGUAAACUGGACCUUUGGAUUCAAUCCCAUCUGUGUAACAAAGCGUUCUUGGACCUAGGUGUCUGGGAUUGGCUAAGCUGAGUUCAAAGUAUGAGCUAACUUGUAUGUUUCCAAUGCUGCAAUAUUUCUGAUGUUGCUUCUUUAACUGUGAUACUCAAUAAAUUUGGCAAUGCUUGCAACAGAAAAAAGUUUUCAAUAUGAGCUCUUCAAUCAGAUGCAUAGAAAGGUAGAUAUGAUGUUACUGUCUAAAAACUACGACUUCAAUUGGUUUCGCAAAGGCGGUGGAACUCACCUUAAGUUUGCUUAAGUGAGUGUAUUAAUCAGAGUUCUUAUGCAUCUCUAGUUGGAAAUAGGAGGAGACAUUUUUUUCAUCAGGUAUUAAAGGAGCUGAGCUUUGAAAAGAACAAGGGCGGGGCAAUCCUCGUCCAGGUCCUGGUGAGAAAUGGCAUUUGGAACCCCCAUAAGAAAAUAUUGCUUCCUAUCAACAUUACCUGAAGCCCUGAUCAGGGAAUUUCCUGCAUUUGCCAUCUUCAAGCCGCUAGAACACUCCCAUGUUCUAUUUGAUGAUGAGGAUGGCAUCCUGCUCAACAGAAAACUCGGUGCUCUCCUUCCUGUGCAGGUCCAGAGUAAAGAGAAUACAAGGCAUUUCAAAAUUUCAUGUUUCAGUUUCAGUGGAUGAAAUGUUAGAUAAGCAAAUUACAAUAAUCAGAGCAGCAGAAAGCCAGCAUGAAAAAUCCUCAAGAGUUUGAGAAGUCACCAUAUAAAGAAGAUGGAAGUCCCAUUGAGCUUAGAUGCAUUGCAUCUGGCUGUGGCCUGCGCCGCCUGGCAUUGUGAUCAGAGAGUCGCCUACGACAGCUUCUCUUUUUAUCAUCAAAUUCCGAUAAAUUAUGGAACCUUUAAAAUUAGAAGCCAAAUUAUGCUGUUGACAUCCUUAAAAUUUGACCUAACAGUAUCUAAAAGUUAAAAAAAAAAAAAAAACAACUGAAUGAACAACACAAAAACAUUGGUAGAUAAUAUGAAUGCAAGUAACUAACCUGCUGCACUGUUGGCAAAACCUUCGCUCGACCCCAGCCACAAUGACCUUGGGGCUUUUGGAAUGGCUUUCGCAGAUUCUGUGGCGGCGAUGAUAAUCUUUAGCUGCUGUAAGGUCAAGGUUGCAUCCCUCCACUUGGCAGCGACUAGUUUGCAUGCCUUGAUGGGACGCUCUAGAUCUCUUUCCACUAUUGGAAGACAAACUGGAAUUAGUUAUAGAGCUCAGAUGCUUGGAGUCCUUUGGCAUUCCAAGUUUCAGGCCAACUACUGGUUGAUCAAAGCCAAGAGAAGCUGCAGGUGCUGAAUAACUUUCACCUUUCUCCACCCCGAUGAAAUCUUCUUCCUUUCUAUUUUCAUUAGGCCAAGAGUUAACUGUCCCAAAAUAGUCUCUGUCUAGUUCAGUUGCCUUUCCACCGUCCAUGGCAGAAUCCUGCGAAUGCAUUGAUGCGGGGUACUUUGUCAGUUCAAACUCCAUCACAGAGCAUGAUUACCAUAUAAGUAGUCCAUCUUCAUCUUAGCAGAAUAUCCAAAAAAAAAGUUGCUGUCCUCGAUUACCCGAUCUUCAUCAAUUCAAGAAAGAUUAGAACAGAUUCAGCUCUUGAUAUCAGAGUGUGAUGUGAUGAUUUCAGUUCCUUUUUGGCAGUGACACAGCGCUUGAACGGAUGCAACCAUAGAACAUGGGCUUGCCUAUAGGGAAAAGAGUGUCAUGGGGCUAUAAGGUAGUUAUAAUAACUGGAUCAAUUAGAGCUAGAGAAAGAACUGCCAAAAAAGAGAACUGAUUCAACACAAGAAAUUCCCUGGUUAAGGGGCAAUUUUAAGUCGUCCUAGCAACAAAAUGUAGGGUGGCUAAGGCUUAGGUAGUUGUGUUGGUGCUCCCUUCAGGAAAACAUGCUAGUAGAUAGAUUGCUGCCAGGGCCUAGAGGAGACCCACUCACCUUAAACUCCAACCAAGGCAACAGAGACAGGUUAAAGAAUCAAGCUAAACAACAGCGAGAGGGGUACCAUACCACCUUUAUAAAUCGUCACUUUCGGUCCAUUAGCCUUUUGGCAGUCCAAAAUUUUUCUCUUGUAGCUAGCAGAAUCAAUCACCAAGUUUGGAAUUGAAUUCGUCAGGUUCCCAUGUGGGUUCCUCCCUUUUUCCGUUUUGGUGAAGACAAAAAAUGCUUAGCACAUGCAUUGGAAGACAUGGUCCCUGAAGCAUUCAUACAAAUUAAUUCACAAAAAAGAUUCACCAUGCAUCCCUAUUUUUUUACUGUAAUAAAGGAACAGUCGUAUGUAAAAAUUGACUUCACUCUGUGAUUUCAUCAUCGUGUAAAAUAAAAGGGUUGUUCUUUCUUGUGUAGCUUAAUUGAUUUUCUCCAUACUGUAUGUAACACUUUAGAAUGUGAAUACAACCCUUUGUUUUGCGCAAAGUCUAGAACUAGCCUAAAACUCUGACUUGCUUCAACUCUUGGAGUAGCUGCAGUCAAGAAUUUCAACUUAAUUCAAGGCUUAUGAUUUGCAUAUAUGCAAUCCAAAAUGUUAUCUGAAAUUUAGCCUCCAUGGCAUCAAUUGGGGUUCCUGACUUUUCUUCCAUGAGCCGAGACAGGCAAGAAAAUAUCUUAGUUGCUGGUAGUGGUAGCAAGAAAGUUAGCCUAGAAGUAUUCCUUGGCCAAUGAACAUUCUUACAAAGUCUAGCUGUCCAAUCUCUCUCCAAUAAUUUCAGAGAAAUCUUACUCCUUCAUCUUUCUGCCAAAUAGGAAACUCUGCUACACCCAUUAAUAAGCUCUCAAUAAGGUUGGUGCAGGAGCAUUAAUCCCUGCAAUUUCAUUGUCAACUACUAUAUUGUGCAAUCAAUCAAAACUCUCUUUCUUCAAUGUUGAUGGGUGACCUCACCAAUGUUCCAAGACUCACGACGCUUUUUUGAGGAAAUCCAAAAUGAAUUCUACACAGUUGAUGCAGGAACCAGUACAGCCACAAAAGCUGCGUGUGGCAUUCAGCAAAGCGCAAGUCAUUUUGAACUGUUGUGUUGUGCUUUUUAUCGGAUGCCAAUUCAAUCAUUCACCAGUUGUGAAAGAAGCUCUUGGCCCUCGCAGUAAAUGCUCUGAAAAGGGUUUAGCAUUUUUCGUACAAAAACAUGCUUAGAACUAAUCCAGAUUGUGAACGCUCCUCCUCCCCGUGGUCGUCUAAAUCACACAUAACCUAUUACUAUUGUGUAAAUAUCCGCACUAACAAUUAUUAUUUUUUCUUACAUUUAUACGCUUUUCUGAUAUAAAUUCGUGUUUUCUACAAAUUUACUCUCGAAAUCAAUUUUAACAGGUGCCCAGAGGACGCUCAAGCGUUGAACAGACUCGUUUAUCAAUCUGGCGCACCUAACCUUUCCUAUAAAUAUCUUUGGCAUCAUUGUCGUUUCAUAUUAGGUAGCAUUUUGGAAACAACCAAAGAUAGAAUCAGAAUUACUCGCCCAAAUAGCAUGUGAAGAAUGCAAACUAUAAUAAUGUUUCGUGUUUUAUCACUUCAUUGUGUGUCAAACUGUCAUAUCAUAUGGAUUAUGAUGAACAAAUUGCUUCUUGGAAGUGGUUGCAAUAAAAGUAAAUAACUGGACCGGACAAAAGCUGUAGAUCCUCUUGUCUUUACUUAUUUGGAAGCAAUAAUUCAAUAGCAGCAGAUUGUAGUUGCCGACGUAAAUAACCAAAAACAGCAGUAACUAACUAGUAACUAGGACACAGUCACUUAAGAAACAGCUCUAAAUUAUGCACAUCAAUAAUUCAACAAUUGACAAAAGAAGGGUAUUUUUCAGCACUGCCAAGUUGUACCCAAAUGAGUAAUCAAAAGUAAGCGCCAAAUCUGUAUUCCCUAAUUGUGAGCACUCAAACUGGCGGAUGCUGAUUAAUUUUCGACAUUCCAAAUUCGACACUAUAUAUAUUAGUACUCUGAGUUAUCCAUGAUUAGAAAAUUGUCAAAUGUUAUAACAUCUAGCUUGCAACACCGUUUAUGAAAAUGUUAAGAAGGGAAAAAGGAUCAUUGAUGUUCAAGGCUGAUGAUCUAGCCCCUUGACACAGAUAUUUGAUGUCCUCACACAAAUGUAAUCUCACUUUUACACGAGUCCUUUUUCCUAUUGAAAAGAAUCAAUGGCAGUUUCCAACGUCUUCCUCUUAACGAUUCAAAUCUCUAACGUACCGAUUACCAGUAAAUCGUUUUAUCAACUAGAUCACGAUUUGUCGUCGUUUUUACUAAAAUCUUGAAAUUCUUAUAAUCUUUCCCAGGCUAAGAGACCAUAGAUUGAUUCUAUCAUACCACCUAUGGCUAUAAUCGAGCCAACUUGAAGGAUGGUGCAAUAUCAUGUAAUUUGUGGGCAUGAUUUUGGUACAACAUUAUUGUAAUCCGAAUCCCAUGCAUUUUCCUCGUGGGAAAAUCAAAAUAUAUAGCUGCAUCAGAAUUUGAUUGUCUUGUCUACAGCACAGACCGACAAGUACCUUUGUCACCACAAGUAAUAUCUACGUCGUUCUCAUCCUCUGCUGAAUUUAAAGAUGUACAUAGGAGCUACAGCUUGGGCAGACUCUUGGAAUUGAAGCACCCAAAUAGGUCCCCAGUGGCAAUAGUUGGGUUUGAUGUCAAGAAUUACUCCCUAGAAUUCAGUUGGACAAAUUCCAACCACACUUUUCCUCACAACCUAUGCAGAGCCAAAACUGUUGCAGUUUGAAGGACCAUUCUCUCUACCACACCAAUCAAUGCGCGUAUUCAACAAAAGCGGAGGCCGCUCUUUUCACUGGAGACUACAUGCCAGAAUUAUUAAAAAUAGAGCAUGUCAAAGUCACAUCAACAAGUAUAUAUAUAUAUAUAUAUAUAUAUAGGGCAUGUCAAAGUCACAUCACCAAGUUUAUAUAUAUAUAUAUAUAUAUAUCGAAUAAAUCUUAUACACGUCAAUUGGCUGGAUGGUCUUGAUUUGUGAGCUCCACUUUAGAUUGUGCUUUGCACCGGAAUUUUUUGAUUACCUCUGAGUGUUAAUCUAACUUUGUUGUGUUGUUUCCAGUAAUUUCGAUUGUUGAAAAAAAUAAAUCUUAUACACAUUGAUAGCAUAUACAUUAUUGCCGUUAAAUCUAUGACAUAUAUAUAAUAGCUGAAUUUUAAAUUUAAAUUUUACAUAAUUAUUAAUUAUCCAAUGCUGACCAUGCAUACAUUGUCAGUGUAAGAAAAAUUAAUUCAUAUAUAUAUAUAUAUAUGUGUGUGUGUGUGUGUAUGUAUUUAUUUAUGUAUAUAAAAGCCGACAAGCUGAUAUCUUUUCUUUUUUUUUUUUGGGCAAGGUAGUUAGGGGUGGGGCCGUGGGGAUUUUAAUUAGGGAUGGCAACGGGGUAGAGUUGGGGCAGGGACCCCUCCCUCAUCCCCCGCCCCGCUGCCUACAAACUCCCCCCGCCCCCGCCCCAUCCCCCGUCCUUCGCUCCAUCCCCCCGCCCUGUCCUCCCCCAUCCCGUUUUCCCUGCGGGACUAAUAAAAAUUUGUUAUAUAAUUUUAUUAUAGUUAAAUUUUAGCAAAUAAUCAAGUACUAAAAUAUCAACACAUCAUCAAAUUAUUAUUCAUUGUAAUUUUACAAUUGAAACUUAUAAAAAUAAUCAAACAAAACUUAUUUGAAUACAAUCCAAUAUGAUGAAAUAAAUAUAACUAAAAUAGUCAAGUUUUCACUAUUGGUACAAAUACAAUCACUAAUUUAUUAUUGUGCUUGUGCUUUUUUUAAGAAAAAAAAUGUUAUUGUAUUAAGUGUAAUUAGGGAUUUAGUAUAAAUGUAUUAGUAAAUUUAGUAUAACCAAUUAAUAAUUUGUAUUAGUACACAUAUAUAAUUAUUAGUAUAAUUAAUAAUAUCAAUUAUAUUAUAUAUACUAAUAGACAUCAUAUAAUACAUAUAACUAAUAAUAUUAUUAUCAUAAGUUUGUAAGCAAUUAAAUUAUAUAUUAUCUAUAUAAUUAUAUACCUAUAUAUAUUUUAUAUAUUUAUUUUUUUAAAGCUGGUGGCGGGGCGGGGGUACACACCCCCGCCCCAAUCCCCUCCCAAUUAAACCCCCGCGGGGCGGGUGCCCGCGGUUACCCGCUCCCAUUGCCAUCCCUAAUUUUAAUUGUGUGUACUUAGGCGUUUACUUGUACUUUUAGAUAUAUUACUAUUAAGGUGGCAAAUUCGGUAAAAUUUUCAUAAACGGAUUUCUUGCUUUUUUUCUAAGGAUGACAUAUAUAUAUAUUCCCCGAAAACAUUUUACUAGAAUAAAAGGUGAGUUAAGAAACUUUGGAAAAUGUGUGGAUUUUAGAUUGUGCACUCUUCAUUGGAAGAUUUUGCUUUGGAAGAUUUACAGAAAAAGCAUUUCCAGAAUAAACUCCAUGGUACAAUGGCACGAGGAUGGGCUUUAACCAAGUCGGCUGCGGCAACCAGAGCAACGCAAAUUGGCAGCAAAAGAGAUGCCCUUUUUCUGUUUCAUUAUUCAGCAUUCAAACUUCUAAUAGUUCUAUCACCCCGCCAAGUACAUAGAUGCUUCUUGUCGUACAACUGCCUUUUCAACUGAAUCUUCAAAGCAAAUAAAAAAUUCCCACGUUCUUGGAGAAAUGUUUGCUCCAAAAACAUUGGAAAAAAAGAAAGGCUUCAUUGUUAUUGAAUUUAUAGGAACGAAACUGGAAAGUCCAACCAAGGGUUGCUGGUCACUUUUCCUCGAACCCAAAGGCAACAAUUCCGCCCAACUAAAGAAUAAAUCAGGAAGGAAGUACCCACCAGUGCCCGGUCUUUCUACAUCUUUUACUGAUUUUAUUGAUAGGGCUCAUCAUUGCACAAUUGUGUAAGAAGAUAACUGCUUUUGCUUCUGGAUUUGGGGCAGGGACGGUCCGUCUGAGUAGUUCACGGCCAAAAUUUGGCCCAAAAAAAAUUUUACGGUCCAAAUUUCAUCUUGUAUCUCAUUUUUAACAAUAUGUAUAAGAUCCACAAAAUUUUGUUCUAAAAUUACACGUUGUUGAAAGUAAGUUACACCAUGUAUAAAUAGAGUUACGCCGUGUGCAAGAUGCACACAGGUGCAACCGUUCUUGCCCCUGUCCCUUUGUUUCUCUUCUGUUGCACCUCUAGGCGCCUCUCAAUGAAAGUAUGCCUUCUGUAGGGGGUUAAAAAAAAAAACAAAAAAUAACUCAGAAAAAUUCAUCAACCUUUCAAUUAAAAUCAACUAUACUUGGUUCAGUUUUGAAAAUUACUAGAAACAAAUCGUAUUAACCACCUUGUGAUCCUAAUUUUAGAGUUAAAAAACACAUAACUGAGAAGGUAACUUGACGGCAUAGAUAACAAGAGCAAUCCCUUUAUUCUGUUAAUUAAACCAUAUAUUUUCUUUCCUCAGAAAGAAAAAACUUUUUAAUUGAACAAAGAUACAGCCAAUUCCUAGCCUACCUAGUUUUUGGCUUCACCCCAGCUCGGACCACUAAAUUUAGGCUUUACUUUGGGGCAAUGCUUGUAGGUGAGCGGCCUUGUCUCACCCCAGCCCUAUGAUGUACUAGUAUUCUGCGUGGCCGUUUCUCCCUCUACGUUUUUACUGAACUCCCAAAAGGAGAGGGUUGGAGUUGAAUCUUGACAGACACAGAAAUGGAAGAAAGUUGAACCCGAAUUUGCAUUUACUAUGUCCCAUUAUCUAAAAAUCAUCCAUCCAAUUGUUAAGUUCAUCGACGAAAUGUAAAGGAUGACAUCGACAAUUCAGUUGCAGGGAACACCCUACUGACCAGUGAUAGUUGGAAGUGUGUCAGGACAACAGAAUUGAGAGAGAGUUCCUACUGCAGCUUUGAACUCUUCCCACCAAGAGUUGAGCUGCUCUUGGGUGAAUUCUCAUGCUCAAUAGCUAGCUAGACCAGUCAUGGCUAAGCACAAUUAAGCUGAAUAUGGAAGCGGUCUCAUCACACACGGAAAUAUCCAUCAUAUUCACUAGAAAUGAUAAACAGAAUCAUAUCAGGAGACACAGAGUCGAGAGAUUCAAAAAUAGACACACAAUUUGACAGGCCUUAAAUUUCCAUGAAAAUAUGUAUAAAAGUACUUAGAUUUGUUUAAAAUCAGUAAUCAGGAUCUGAUGAGGCAUCUCGAAACCGUAAUCAUAACAUUUGAACUUCAUAUUGAAAUUAAAUUAUCAAGAAUUUGGUCAGUCUGAAAAGGACAACAAUUUACAACAUUGGUGAUAGCACUGAAAACUGAAAACCUUAUCUUAGAUUUUUCCCACCCUCCACUUAGUCCACACAACUAUAUAAGUCAAAAUUUUGUAGCUAAAAUCAGCCUGGAAAUUACAUAAAACAAUCUGAAAUCUGAAGUAGAGAAAGAACAGGAAAAAAGCACUCAAUUAUGAAAACCAACACCACAUAUCUGAGGGUAUUAUGCCUUAAUGUCUUCUACCUCUGUUCCGCUUAGAUGCAACCACAGUCCAUCCAUCUUCUGUUUCAGCUGGUUCCUGGGGUAUAGACUCAUCCACCAUCAUUUCUUCCCUAUUCAUGACAGAAUGGGAUUGUGGAACAUCGACCACCAUCUUUGACGAGCCAUCAUUUGGCCCAUUACCAUUAUCACUGUCUUCAUUAUCAUCACUAUCGCUGUCGCUGCUGGCCUGUAUCUAAGUAAAAAAACAGAUGGGAAUGAAUCCAAAUGGAAAGUGUACUGCAGAUUCUCAAUAGCUUCUUAAGGACUGAGAUUUGAAAUUCUUUAGUAUAAGAAGAGUCUCAACUGCAGAUUCUCAACAGCAUGUUAAGGACUCUCCACUGCAGAUUCUCAAUAGGAUCUUAAGGACUGACAUUCAAAACUCUUAGCAUAUGAAGAGUCUCAACGCUGUUAAAUACACUGGAUAAUUGUCAUUGACAAAACAUUUGUCAAUCAGCUACAACAUCAUUACCUGUGUAACAUGGGUGGCUGCUCCUGGUGGAGGAUUAGUUGCCCUAAGCCUUUGUAUGGAACUAAAAUCACCUUUCAAACAUUCUUCAUGCAUAAACAUCAAUUUUUCAGCUAUCUGCUUAAAGCAAUUCAGUGACAAAAAAUAAAAAAUAAUGUUAAAAAGUGCCCACAAAAGUGGGAAACCAUCAAGAUAGAACAAACCAUGUUACAUCAGUAAAUAUGCAAUUGAUAUCAUAAUCAUAGCUGUCAUCCAGAAAAAGAAGCAUGGUUUCCAAAUAUUCAUCCCCAAAAGAAAAUUGUAUCGGCCUUUUAUGUGAUUGGUCAUAACUAUAGUGAUUUCGCUACUCGUAUUUGUUUUUCCAAUUAAAAGAUGACUAAUUCUAAUUUAACCACCAUAUUUUGGUUCUAGUAACCUCCCUAUAUGAACUAGAGAGUAUUUGUUCAUUAGAGUUAGUGCUUCUGCUGAUGUCAACAAAUUCUUAAGAAUGCAAAGUAAUACAGAACAAAGUCCCAUAAUUCCAAAAGGAGAAGAAAACUCCCUUCAAAUUUGAUAAAAUCUAAGGUGGGUGUGCAAUUCAGCCGAUCACCAAAAGUAUCAUUUACCCACAAGUUCAACAUUGAGAUAGACAUUGCUGGCUCUAGCAAUUCUUUCUGUCCCUUUAUAGUAGAAAAAAAAGUUGGACAUGAUAUGGUAUAGAUGCACAAUGAAAAUGAAACUUUUAAGCAAUUAUUUUUUUCAAGCCUGUUAAAGCAAAGGGGAUGUUCAAACCAUACUUAACCUUCACAUCCUCUUUAUUGCAAAGAGAAAUUGAAACUUGAAAAGAAUAUAAAGCCAAAAAAUCCACAAUCAUCACAAGCCCUAACACUGCAUAUCAGGUUUACCAUUUUGAGAAAACCCUGGGUAAUCAAGGGUUAGACAAGAUAGGCUUUCUAAAUUUCAGAAUCCAGAGCCACUAUAGUUCUGAGAGGAAUUGCAGAUGCUGAUUGUCAUCAAGCACAUUUCGGACAAAAAACUUAGAAUCCCCAAAAUCAAGUCAAAUGACCAAACAGAUAGUAUUCUGAAUACCUAAAAAAAUAGUUUAACAUCUAUCCUUGGCCUUGCUGCAAUAUUAAGGCCAUGCAUUAUUAUAACCAGAACAAUAUGGCAGGGAUUGAAGGAAAUCUUGAUGGUGAUCUAAAUAAUAGAAAUCUCUUUCCCCUUGUUCUUGUCUAUUUCAGUGCAUAUAUCUUGAAACAUACAUUCUCUGUGUUCAUAUAUCAUGUUUCAUAAGACAGUCACAUGCAAAAGGAAAGAACACAAGUUACAAAAUGCUUGCUUUACAAGAUCCCAAAAUUCCAGCUUUGCUGUUUAACUAAUAAACUCAAAGCAAAAAGGUUGCAAUUGUCUAAAAGAAGUAUACUACAAUCUACAUCUCUGCAUGUUAAAUGAAUAUUGAUUAGCAUGCACAGCCAGCUUCCUUUCCCUGAUUUACUAGCAAGGUGUGGGUUAGAAAAUCAUCCUUUUAUCUCUCAUCAUUCCCUUCAAACCCCAACCUCCAGUAAAAGGCAAAAUAAAUUACAAAUCCCAACUCCAUUAAUCAGCUUUUCCCUCCUGUCCUCCUGCUUCAAGAACAUCUCUAGAUAUGUUUUAGUACAGAGCCUCCAGCACUCAGACUGGGAAAAUUUUUGUUUUUCUUAAAAAGCGUCAUUUAUAAGUAUCUCAAGCCCAAACCACCUGUCUGAUCAGUCAUCUAAUAGUGGCAGCAACACUUAUUCAUGCAACUUCAAGCUUAUAUAGGAAAACAGAAUUACACCGAAUGAUGACUAAUAAGCGCAAGGAAACAAUAAGACCACAUCACUUCAACCCUUGACUUCAGCUUGAAUCUAAAGGAUCAAAUCCUUUAGAGGAAACAAUAAGGAGGAUGCCAAUUCUUAAAACCUAUUCAAUUGAUAAUAUAAUUGAAUAAGUGCACUAUUUUUUUUCCCUUAAGAAAGGAGGAAGGUACUAGGAUAAAGAAUACUCUCUUUCAACCUCGCGAAAAAUUCUUAAGAGCGCUUCAAGCCUUGAGCCGUAGACUUGUUUAAAAAAAUCUGACAUGCCAAGGGUUAAUAUUAACUGAGUACUAAGAUUGAACAGAGGCAAUUAUCUUGAUUUGAGAAGCAGUAACUUCUCAACCGUUUACGCGAACUAAAAUCAUUGCAGUGCAAUAAACAAAAGCUCAAAUCGACAGGCAUCAAACAGUUUAGCUGAACUGAGUACCUCCUCUAUACUGCCAUCGGCAAUCUCAGUACCAAGAGAUAGCAUUGAAUCAUCAAGAAGAUCCUCCACGUCAUCCAUAUAUACUCUCUCUGAACACCCGAAUUUCCCAAUAAAGUUAAAGAAAGAGGAAAAAACCGAAAAAAUCAGAGAAAACUCAAGCAGACAGAAAUAAACAACGGAAAAACGCAAGAAUUUGCUGAAUUCAUUUUCAAAGAAGAAAUUUAAAAAAUUUAACCGAAACUGAAAACCUUUGGAUCCAGCAAGAAGUGAAAAGAGGUCGAGUUCGAGUUGCUGGGACUUAAGACGAGACUGGGGGCCACCCCACUCGCUCUGAACGGCCAUUUGAAGUGCUGUCCAUCGAGAAAGCAGUAAAUUGAUGCCUUGUUGGAACUCAGCCGCCGCCUCCCCAGUCAGCUGGGGAGCAGCAGCCGCCGAUGACUUGCCGGUGCCGGUGUUGCUUCGGUAAUUGGAGUCCAUUUUUCGGUUUAAUUCCUAGUGAAACCCUAACCUCUGUUGCUUAUUGUUUGGAGUCAUUUUUCUUCUUUCCUUUUUGAAGAAUGUUUUGGACUGCCCUUUAAUUUUUCAAAACCCUUAUGGUUCUGAAUAAAUAAAUCCAAAAUCAUUCCAAUGGUACCGUAUUUUUCUAAAUACAAUAAAGUAAAAAUAUAUAAAUUUCAAAAAAAUAUGAACACUAUCUAAUUUUUAUUUUCAAAUAAUAAAAUUAAUAUUCAAGAAGUUGAAUCCAAUAUUAUUAACUCAAAAAUUAACUAUUAUCGAUCGUUUUGAUUUAUUUUUGAAACUUCAACUACAUUAUAUACUAACAAUCGAGGUGCUCUUAAUGCAUGUGCAAUUCGAUUGGAGGGAGAUAGUUUUAGUUAAAUAAGAAUUGUAUAUCCGUUGUUGAUAAUAGUGAUAAGAGUUAAUAUAUAGUAAUAGAAAUAAGGAUAAAUUUGAAAAUUCAUAGAGUUUAACGGCUUACAAAGGCUUUAUUAUUGUAAAAAUUUAUAAUUAUAUAUACACGGAUUUGGAUAGAAUUUAGUAUAAAUUUAAAUUUGAAUAUGAAUCAUAUAAAAAAUUAGACCCUACCCAAACUCAUAACUCUUAGAUAAGAACUGAUCCAUUAACAUGUCUGAUCAUACAUCCUUUUUCUUAUUCAUCAAAUAAUCAAAUUUACCAUUAAAAGGGGGGGGGGGACGGGGGAAAUUUCAUAUAUUUAUUCGUACCUUUUAAUCCCUCAAGUUUGGAAUGAAACAUUUUAGAACCUCAUGAAAUUUAAUUCGAGUAUCAAAUAGUUUUGUUUGGUUUUAAACUCUAAACACUCCUAAAGAGUCCCAGGUUGAAUGUUAUGGUGUUUAAAUUCGAAUUAAUUUUUCCUAAAACUCUAGCAAUUCGGUACGUUUAUUGGUUGAUUGAGUUCAAACAAUUUUCAUUAAACUAAUUUGAUUUAUCUUUCACGUAGGUUCCAAGUCUUACGCUUUAUCAAAAAAUGCUCAAAGAAUCAAAUAAUAAGAGUUAAUUCUUGGUUGGGCUUGGUUGAGUUAAUUGAUUACUCAAUAAUAUUUUGUUUGGAUAGGGUAUUAUUUGAAAUAUUAUUUGGAAUAAUUACUGUAGCACUUUUUGUGAUGUGAUGUAUGUGAGAUAAAAAGGUGAUUGGUAAUAUAAAAAGGUGCGUUGAAAAAUGUGUUUAUAAUGCAAGCAAAAUAUUAUCUGAGAUAAGUUUUGUAUCCAAACACUCAUUUUUAGUUGUUUUCCGAAAUUUUUCCUUUUGAAAAAGUAACCAUUUUCAAAUUUCAGUGCAUAUUUUGCUAAGUGAUCAUUUUAGUGUCAAAGACUCUUUACAAAUGUGUGAAUUUACAUAUUUGGAAAGGGCUUCUUCUCGUAGCUUCAAGACUUCGCCAGUAGGCAUCUUUCUUGCUAGUACUUUUGUCUGUUACAUGAGAGCCUAUGCAAUAAAACUCAACAGCCAAGUAGCUAAUUUGCUGAAGAAGAAGAAGAGAGGUGGAGAAUAUGUCGACUGAAAAUGGAUGUGCUGAGCCAAAACUGGUCACUGGAGAUGCCGGUUACGUCCUUGAAGACGUGCCCCACUUGUCCGACUACAUUCCUGACCUUCUGGUACGUAAAACUUCAUGAUUCUGCAAAUGGAAAACCAUUAUUUGUACAAUUAUUUUUCAAGAAUUCUAUACCUUCUGGUACGUGAAACUUUCCUUUUUUGUGUUCUUGGUGUUGGUUUCAGACUUAUCCUAAUCCAUUGCAAAACCAUCAUGCUUAUUCAGUUGUUAAGUAAGUGUUUUAACUGCCCGCGACCAUGCUAUUUUUCUUGGUUUUUCAUUGGUGUAUGGAAUUGAUGUUGCAAAACAUUUUGUUAAUGUGGAUGACAGCGUUACAAAAAAGGUAAUGGUACUCAUUUUGAUUGAGAUUAUCUUCCUGAUGAAAGCGGAAAAUUAUUUUCCUGAUCAUUUUGUUCUUAUGUUUUUUCCUAAUUCAUCUACUUGUGCUUGUGAUUGUAGAUUGUUGUAGGCAGAAGUAGCCCAAGAGGGACUCAUUUUCGGCGUGCUGGACCUCGUCAGAAGGUUUCUUUUUUUGGUUCCUUCUUCAAUUUUCUUUCAAGAAUAAGAUUCAUCAUUUUGCUAACAAUGUUGAACCAAUUAUAUUAUGAAAGCUAAAUUGGCUUGAAUUUUCCUCAGGUUUGUUUUGAAUCUGAUGAAGUUCUUGCAUGCAUCGUGACUUGUGGAGGUCUCUGCCCGGGUUUAAACACAGUGAUCAGGGAGUUAGUCUGCGGCUUACAUGACAUGUAUGGCGUCAAUAGCAUUCUUGGAAUAGAGGUAAAUAAGUGUUCAAUCAAUGUUGACAGGACAGAUAUUUCCGCAACUGAUUUUUCCUUUGUAGCAGUUCGUGUUGGAGGGGAAGGACUAGGCUUCUUUUGUUUUUUCCUACUUCGUUUUGGUUCAAUCCCACUGGAGGAUGUUGAAUGCCUGGAAUGUGACUUAGUAUGAAUGUUCUUUUGUGAUCACAGGAUGGAUACAAGGGAUUCUAUUCUCGGAAUACUAUCCCUUUAAGACCAAAAGUUGUGAAUGAUAUUCACAGACGGGGCGGUACCAUUCUUGGGACAUCAAGAGGGGGCCAUAAUACAUCAAAAAUAGUAGACAGUAUUCAGGAUCGAGGAAUUAAUCAGGUAUGGAGACUUGCCUUUCAAUUCUCUUUUUUGAUUUUUGUGGUUCCUUUUGAAUUAUGGCUUCUGAGAAGCAGAAAGCAUGUUUAGAACUCAAUACUUGAUUUUAGAACUUCUAACUUUGCGGUGAAGAUUUUCCUGUUUAUAUUUGUGCUCAAGAUGUAUGACACCGAGUGUAUCAGGUUUACAUUAUUGGAGGAGAUGGUACUCAUAAAGGAGCUGCAAUGAUCUUCGAGGUGAUCCAGUUUCUCGCUUUUAUUGGCUUUGGCUGUGUGAUGCAAUGCUUCAGAUACUCUCAGGCUGGAAGAGUUGUUUGUUAACCUGGAUUAUUUGCAGGAAAUCAGAAGGCGCGGCCUCAAAGUUGCUGUUGUUGGAAUACCCAAGACCAUUGACAAUGACAUACCGGUACUGCAAUACAUUCUCGUCCCCUCUUCUGAUACAAUUGCGCUUUUGAGCUAAAAGGUUUACAAACGAAGUUCUUAGAUCUUAAGCUUUACCUAAUUCAGGUUAUAGACAAAUCCUUCGGUUUUGACACUGCUGUUGAGGAAGCUCAACGAGCCAUCAAUGCAGCUCAUGUUGAAGGUGAAAGCAUUGAGAAUGGUAUCGGUGUUGUCAAACUAAUGGGACGUGAUAGUGGUAAGUCUUCAACUCGGUAAUUACAGCUUAUAGUGUCUUCCAACUCCAUAGGAACCAUCCCUUCAAUUGAACCAUUGCUCUUUAUGUGGCUGUCAAAAGUGACAACAAUAUCAGUGAACUUUUGAGGCAAUGGUUGUUUCACCCCUGUAGGUUUUAUUGCAAUGUAUGCAACUCUUGCGAGCCGAGAUGUGGACUGCUGUUUGAUUCCAGAGUCACCCUUUUUUCUGGAAGGACAUGGUGGACUCUUUGAACAUAUAAAAAACAGACUCAAAGAAAAUGGGCACAUGGUUCUCGUGAUUGCCGAAGGAGCUGGGCAGGAUCUUCUCAGAGAAAGCAUGCAUGUUGUGGAUAAGAAGGAUGCUUCUGGAAACAAGCAGCUCCAAGAUGUCGGCUUCUGGAUAUCUCAGAAGAUCAAGGUUAUUGUUGUUCAAGUCUUUGCUAUAAUCAUCCUACUAUAAUGUGCUCUUUGUUUGUGGGCUAUUUUAGCAAUAGGAGGAUAUAGUCAUCCUUCUCAGAAAGUUUACUGCUUCUAGGAGGAUAUAGUCACAGUCUUCACAAUAACACAGAUGCUUCAGCAUAUGUACUUGAUUGACUGUAUUACUACUAGGCAAGUGCCUCAUGCAAUUUUUGUUGCAAGUAUAGAUAAUUGAAUUUUCUAUUACAGUUAAAUGCAUAUUGGGAUUAUUCUGCUCUGUGAUCUCAAACUGGUAUGUUACCCAAGUAUGAUUGAUCGUUCAUGGCAGAUCCUACAUAUAUGAUCCGUGCCAUUCCAGGCAAUGCAUCAGACAAUAUCUACUGCACACUUCUAGCUCACAGCGCGAUUCAUGGCUCAAUGGCAGGUUUCACAGGGUUUACAGUAGGGCCUGUUUAAUGCAAGACAUGCUUACAUACCCUUUUAUGUGAGUUUGGUGUUUAGAGUCUUACUUUUCUUGUAGUCUUUCUGCUAGUUUCUUGAUCCUAAAUGUACAAAAAUAAGCUAAUUCUUCUGUUGGCAAUAAUUCGAUAUAUGUAACAGAUUUGUGUCACUGUAUGGUGUUAAUGGUUUCGACUGACCAUUUUGCAGCGCAUAAUAGAGAGACAGAAUAAGGUGGUAAUAACAGACCGGAUGUGGGCAAGGCUCCUAUCUUCAACCAACCAACCAACCAAGUUUUUUGGACGCGAAAGAUGUUGCUGAAUCGAAGAAAGAAAAACCGCCAUCAUCGCAGUUGUUAAGUGAUGAUGAUGGUGAAAAUUUGCAUAGAGAAAAUCAUUCAGGAAAAUCUUCUUAUUUCUUGUGAAGAAGGGUUUGAAGGGGAGAAUUCCUGUAGCAAAGAGAAUGUGUCAGAAGGGAAGUCAUCCAAUAAAGAGAAUGAGAAAGGUCAUCUGGAUAACAGGCUGACAGCAAAACUUGACAGUAGCUAGAAAUGUGGAUAUCUAUUUGUAGUUUUCUGUGUUCAUGUCUGAUUUUCAGUUAAUUGCUGUUAACCCAUGCGUAUUUCGGGUUAUCACUUUCUAUCUUUAACUUUUCAGAUUGCAUGUUUGUCGUUUUUACUGUAAAAGUUACUGUGGUUAUAAAUUUUAGGACAUAGCAAAUAGGAUUAAUAUUUCCUACACUGACAAUGUAUAUAUUGUCAGCAUUGAAUGAAUAACAACUAUGCAAAAUUGAAAUUUAAAAUUCAAUUUUUGCAUGUAUGUCAUAGAUUCAACAGUAAUAGUGUAUACAUUGUCAGUAUCAAGCGAAGGAAAAACGUUCAUAAAAACAUGAGGGAAUACAAAGGUGGUGUUUUUUAGAUGUUGGUAAAUCCUGCAUCCCUGAGCCAGGUAGAGACCCCCUUUUAGGUUUGGUACACUAUUCUUGAACACUUUUUAACUGGAAGCGGAUACUGACUGCAAUUUACCAAACAUCAGGGACCUCAUACAUCCUCAGCACCAAGAUUCAACAUCAUCCUUGAACCAAAUCCAGCCUCAAAAAGACCACACAGCCUCAAUCAACCUCUUUCUUUCCAUUCUAAAUGCAACCCUCAGAGAAGCUCAUUUUCCUUGCCAAUCAGAACACAGAUCAGAGAUGGUAUCAUUGACAUUAAACUCACCAUUACUGUACUUUAGAUCCCUCUCCUCCGACACACGCCAUGCUGGCAUCUUGUUUGAUCACUGAAACCAGACACUGUGGCCUGUGGCCAUGCCCAGAGUGAAAUUCCACUUUUGGAAAAAUCCACUUUUCGUCUCUAAAUUUUGCGUUAGGAACACAUUUUGUCCCCAAAUUUUUAGAUGCACCACAUUUAGUACAUGAAUUAAUUAUUUUUUGCCAUAUUUAAUCCAAAAACGGUAAAUUGCUUAAUUUAGAUGGAGAAAGUCAUGUGUUUGGCACGUGACCGUUAAGUAAAAACAAUUUCUCAGUCAAAAUCAACAACUAUGUCAGUCUUCUCCAUCCAAAUUGAAUAUUUUACCGUUUUUGGGCUAAAUGUGGUCCAAAAUAAUUAAUUCAUGUACUAAAUGUGAUGCGUCUAAAAAUUUGAGGACGAAAUGUGUCCCUUAAUUCAAAGUUUAAGGAUGAAAAGUGGAUUUUUCCCUUCCACUUUUCAAGUCCUUGAUGUAUUUUCCUUUCCUUUCUCUAUUGAAAGCUUGUGAAAAUCUAAGUACCCUAUAGGCAUGCAAUUAAAAAUGAUAAUGAUGAUUCUUUCAUCAUAACAGGAUGCACUCCAUCACUCAUCACAAUUUACAACAACUCUUGACCAUGGUAUGGAAUUAUAUGUCUGGUAUCUGGUUUGUAGCCCCCCAAUGAAAAGAAUGUUACUUUACACCUAAACCAGACAAAAAAUUGGUUGCUCUGUUGUGGUACAACUUACAAUGCUGAAAAGCCUCUAUAUUGAAACAAAUACAACAUGUAUCCACCAAGCAUCGGAAAAAAUAAUAGUCCUAAGUGCUGUAACUUGUGGCUACUUCUGACAGAGAGACGUAGAAAAGAAAGAAUCAUCUCUAAUGCCUCUCCAUUUCUCUGAAAAUAUUUGCUACCCUUGGGGAUAACCUUGGCAAAAACUUGAAUAACUGGAAAAAAAAAAAAAAGGAUCAAAGCAUCAGAAACACCUUGGCUAAGGAGUCAAAAGGGGGGAAAAAUCAAAGCAUGAGAAGCGCCUAGGCUAAGAAGUCAAAAAAGGACAAAGACAACAAACAAAUUGUUUGCCCCCUUCCCCCCCCCCCCCCUCUCUUCCAGCAUAAAGAAGGUUGCCAAAAUCUGUAUACCUGGGCUUUGUGUUUGGUUUUAACAGUUUUGGAGGUUGGAUCAUUAUAGUAACUUUCCUUUUCCAGCUAAAAUGAUGUUACACUCAUAAAAGUUAUGCUUUUCAAGCUACCAUGUUACCCCCACCCAAAAGGAAACAGGAAAGGCAAUGCAGACUUCAGUACAAGAUGAAGAGCAUGAUCCAAUUAGUGAGAUCAUUUGUUGAGAACAGAAUUGUUUAAAAAAAAAAAGCUCUCUGUAGGUACAUAGCUUGAACUGUGAAAUAUGUAAUCAUAUUGUCAAGUAAAUCAAAAUGCAGAAAAAGGAAAAGAAAAACAUGAUCAGGCAGAAAUCACAAACACAUAUGGUAAAAUGUUUUCCCAACAUACAAAAAAUUCCAUAGAUCAUAUGUUUUAGAUAGAAAACGUACCCAGAGCUUCACGCAAGCAUCAAUAAUAACUGGAACUAAACAGACAAAAAUGGUAAUGGCAGCCUCAUCAACCUCAAGACCAUAAUGCUCAACUAUUAUCUCACAUACAGUCUGCCAACCAGACUCUGAAUGAUACCUGCAGAGUCAGAAGAGCGAAGCAAGAGCAUUAGUAGUUAAUAGAAUUUUUGUUGCUCAAUAAACAAGUCAAAUCAUAUCAAAAGUGCACUAAACAUCUAAGAUGGUUUUCUUUUUUUUUUUGGAAAAUUCUAAGAUGGGGUUAUUAUCCUAUCUGAGAUAACUAGCCUAAAUUCAGCAUGUGAUCCAACUAUGGCGGGACCAACUUCAAUGAGAAAUCACCACAUCAAAAUUGAAUAAUUAAUACAUUAGAAAACAGAGAAUAAAAAAUGUUACCCUAGAAAUAUAUCAGUGACAAGUAUAAUUAGGAAAGCCUUCCCCGUGUCUGUAACAUUGUUUAGCAUCUUGUAGCCAGUAAAUUUCAGCAGAGCUACCUGCAGAAGCAGGCAAAAGUUGGCAAGAUGAUUGAAAGCGUUCAGUAUAAUAUGGCAAGAUGAUCGAAAGAGUUCAGUAUAAUAUGCUAAUCUUCAUAUAUGGAUGCCGCAAGCAGAAAAAGCACAAAAUCAAAUUAUCCUACGGCCUUCCUGACAUUAAGUACCCAAACAAGGUCACAUCAUCCAAUUCCAUCCAUUUUAUGUUAGCAUUCCAUUAAUAAAACACGACUUUACACAUCAUAUGUCCAUCAAAACAUGUUUCUCCAUGAAACUAUAUGAAUGUUCUAUUGAAAAUAAAGUACUGGAAGCAGAAAACUGGAAUUACAUUAUAUAGUUGCUCCUAUAGUUGUAUAAAUAUAGUUCUAUAAAUAAACAAACUAAGUCUCUGAAAAGAAUAGAAGCCAUAUAUAGUGAAACUAGAGUUGCUAGGAAAAAGGCCUGAAAGAGAAAACAGAAAUUCUUAGUGGCUCUAAGGGCAAGAACGUUUAAACAUCAAAAUAUUAGGUGCAUAAUCACUUGAAAAUUGUGAAGCAAGAAUGUCCUCAGAUUUUUUGUUUUCUUUUGGGCCAUGCAGUCAUGGUAAGUGGGAAGCUUACUUAUUAAACAAAAAAGUGCAAGUAUGUUGACUUUUAUUUUCAGAAUGAAGUUCCUAGGAAAUAAAAGAGAUGGAAAGGAAGGGAAGCUUUAAGUGCAAAAUCACACUAAGUUGUUAAUAACAUGAAAUGGAAUUAUUAAAAUAGGUAUUUGAGUAUAAAACUCAUAGAAAACGAUGAGUACUCACUUGACUCUGAUUGAAGUACAAAAGAAUGAACAAUGAUACUCCAAAAACAAUAUCAGACCAUAUAUUGGCAAAUGCUCUACGAUUCUCUAGCCUCCGCUGAUCUCGUAACUCUAACCUGUUACAUCACACAAAACAUGAAAAGACAUUAAAUCUCUUAAUAUGAUGUCCUAACUACUAUCUAUUAACAUUUAAUUACUGUUACGUGUGAGUUCAAGGUAGAGGUACGUAUAAUUUGAGUGAACAAAUUAAAACUAUUUGCAGCUUUCUGUAGUGCAACAAUGAGUACUAGUCCAACAACUAUGAUGCAGUUUUUCCAACAGUGAACAGCAACAUGAGAUGACCAACAGCAAAUGUGGCAGACUAGUUCAAGUUUUAAGUAUAGUUCUAAUUGACAGCUACAGCCUUGAUUAGAGUAUGAGAACCCUUUAAACCCAUAAAAGCAUGAAAUUGUUAACUCACCAUUAAAAAACAAGAAAAUAGUACAGCUGUAACUUUUAUUGGUGAACAAAUUUCGAUCAGAUUCUCAACAAUUGAAGUCCGUGUUGUGAGAUUGAUAAACUUUUUUUUUAUGUAACUAGACAAUUUGGUUUCAAUGAAAUUGCUAACUACAAUGUAGAUAACUCUAUAAAUGAGCCUUGCAAUCAAUGAAUUACUUCAUGAUUAAAGAAAAUCUACAGAAACUAUCUCCACAUCAUUUCUCUGUAUAUUAAGAGACAAAGAGUAAGUGGGAUUUGUAUAGUAUAGUAGCCAAUAACAAGGUAAUUACUGUCAAUAAACUGCAUCAUGCACACUCAUCUCUGUGGACAUCCAAUGUUAACUGGCUCCAUUUAAUUACAUGAAAUUAAUCAGAUCAUUCCUAAAUCAGUGUUAUAUUAACAGUUUGAUUUUCUACUCUUGCAGCAUGAUUCAAGGCCCGUUAAUCGAAUGUAAUGUGCAGGACAGCCAUUAAAUCCAAAUUCUAACUCAUUCAAAAGGUAGAAAGUUGGGAGGAGAAAAUCAGAGGGAAAUCAUAAUCGCUCCAAUGCCUUGUAGGAGUCUCAUCUAGAGAGGGAAUUAAAUGGAAUCCUACCAUUUUUUAUGCAAAUGCUGCAAGGCAUUUGUGAAAAAUUGUGAGAAGCUGGAUUAUAUAAGCAUAGUUUCCUACUUUUUCCUUUUUAGUUCCCUAGGUCUAUGUAUUUAGGUAAUCUCAAGUAAAUAUUCUGAAAAAUCAACCAAAGCUAGACACUGGCAUUGUGAGGAGUAACUAUAUCAUGAAUACAGCAGGAAGCACUUUUUGUUGUUAAAACAUCUCCUGUAACAAUUUGGAGAAAGCCACAUAUUAUCUCCAAUAGAGUUUUGUAAAGUUGAGACAAUCUAAGCUUUUCAUUCAAUCUUCUCUAUACAACCAAACUUCCACUCUUAAGAUCCAAAUGUUUUCUGUCCCGCUACAUAAAUUAAUUUGUCAACUUAAUAUCAGAAUGACUGAAUAAAAUCUAAAGCAACAAAAUUAACACCACAAAUCAGUCUUACGCCUUAUGGUGUAAUUCCGUCCACAGCUCCUCUUCAGAGAGAGGUGGCGAUUUACCAAUCUCUACCUCAAGCCUAUACCGGGCUUUCUCCAGCUUUAUCUCCUGGACCAUUUCAAGCUUCUGACUUCUUCUCACAUCAAGCAUCUGUGCUGCUAAUGGUACUGUCUUGACAUAUCUAUUGAAGACAUGAAAGUCAAUUAAUCAGAAUUUCUUAUUUGCAUUCACAUUUGCUGCAAGGCACAAUUUGAAACACACUUGCAUCCUAAGUUCAUGGUAUCACAUGAUGACGAAGCCAUUGAUGAUGUUGCUGAUAGUUUGAUGCAGGAAACGAAGAGGAAUUAAUGAAAAACUCUGAGGACAGGUCUAUCAUGUUUUGUAGGUGACAAGAUUAAAUGAAAAUUAUGAAAUACAAGAUACAUUCAGAAAUGAAUAGCUAAAGUUUAUCUCUUUGAAGGACAACCAACAUCUUAAUCAGAAAAUUCCAAACUAAAGAUGUGCAAAUGUUUUCUUAAUCAGAAAAUUCAAAACUAAAGGCACUUCUAACAUGUAGGCAUGUCAAGAUAUAAGCUUCCAAGUAAUUCUAACGUGCAAAUGCUUUCUUGGAAAUUAUGAGAAUUUUGAAGGUAAGACACAUUGUCUAACGUGCCUUGCUUCUUGUAGCUCAUGGAACAGUUUUAGAAAUCCCUGGUUGAUAAAUUUUCAUCUCAAAUCUAAAUAUACUCCUUAAUUAGAACCUGUAAAGUUUUAUCUUCUUUUGAUUAGGUAGUGAUUUCCUGUUAGAAAAUCUUUAGUUACCAUUCUGGCUCUAGUAAGUUUUAAAAUACAGGUGAAUUGUGCUCAACUUCUCGUGACUACAAGGUGAGUUUUGCUUUUGAGAGGAAAAGAAAAGAAAGCCAAUGGUGCUCCUGCUAGGAUGUUCAGCUAAUGAAUGACGUUCUACCAUUUUCACUUCUUCUUAGAAUUCUAGUAGCUGAGUAGAGGUAAAAAAAAAAAUAUGGCUGGCAAGCUACAAAUAACUAAGACUCUUAGAGUACGCUUUCAAUCUGGUAACUGAUUAAGAGUUUCUAUAGGGAGUUGGACUACUUUUCUGCUAAAAGAUUACUAGCCAAUGGGAGUAAUUGAUUUCUGACAGAAAAGUAGUACCAUUCCAGCAAUGAUUCUGGAAAAAUAAUAAAUAUCCAAAUCUGGAAGGACCAAAAAGGAUGAUACUGAAUUUCUAACACAAUUCUGUUCUUCACGCUUAAGAUCAAAAGUCAAAGCAACUUAUUCUAGCAUCUAGUUGGAACCUCUGCCAAAAAUUCUCAUUAAUGUAUCUUCCAUUUUCUCUCAAGUUUCUAUAUUCCCUGCCAUUUCUUUAAGAUGCUCACUACGACCAACUAAUGCAAUUUCAUGCAAACCAAGGCAAUCAUCAACACUGAUAAAAAAUUGCUGGUACAUUAAUAAAAUAGUUGCAACUUUGUUCCUUAAAUCCCUAAAACCAAACUCGCUCAUCUAAUUUUGUAAGAGUGGUGAAAGCCAACUUAAUUAACCUAUUCACAAAAUUAUCAGGUCAAGCCUGAUCAUUAACAGCCUACUCACCAGACUGGAUAUGAUAAGAAAUGACAUAAAGCUUCAAAAUUUUCAUCAGUGUUGUGCAGUACUCAUCCAAGCCGCAUAUCCUACCUGAAAGUGUGUCCCUGAACCACCCAUAUCAGAAAAUGUACAAGACCUAGAAUGGACAAGACCCAGGUUGACAUCAAAAGAAAAGCAUGGUUAAUGUCCAGCUACUUCAGUGUAUCUACUUCUCCAUCAAAAUGAGCUAAGAGAAGAAACUAUUGUUCAGUUACAAGAAACUAGAAUUAACUUUUAAGAAGUCCUGAUUUCUGCAACAGUCACUUUUGAGCUGAAUUGAUGAAGAGUAUUUGUGAUUGCAAUUAGCAUUUGCAGAUUGAAUCAUAAAGGCGCUAAUUUGUGAUGAAAUCAUAAAAAUCUCAAAAAAAGGAAAAAAUGAUUUCUCUUGGUCGAUGUGCCUAUGUAAAUAAUACACAAACAACUCAAUAAUGCAAUUCGUAUUAAUGCUAACCUGUCCAGAAACGGCACAAGGACAAAGUCGUGAACCAAAAAGUCUAAAGCGCAUGGAAUUAUUAUCAAUACUGCCAAAAAUUUAGCCUGAAAAAAAUAAGGAAGUAAAGGGAACUCAGCAAGUAACAUAAUUAAGAGGCAAAUAUCGAUACCACAAGCAGAUCUAACAAGGUCAAUAUAUUCAAGAAAUUGCAAAGGUGAUUACAACAUAUGAAAACAAAAAUUGCCGGGGUAAAAUAGAUCUGAGUCUUCAACCAUGAAUCUAAAAAAGCUAAGGCAGAAGACCUACUCAGAAUAUAUUCUAAAUAAAUCUCUUAAUUAAGCUUAGCACAAGUAGUGGAAUCAACUUUUAUCAAAUUCUUAUUGGAAUCAAACGAAUCAAAAGUUAAAUGCACUCACUGAAUUGAAUGAUGCAUAACGAAAAACACGAUCCUCAUAUAGUAUUUCAUCAUCUUCCCUGCCAAAGAUCGCAUCCCUUGCUGACUUCACCAAACCUCCCCUAGGUAUCAUCUGAACAGGGUCUUCCCUAGCCUCCUCUACAGAUUUUCCAACUGCACCAUUCGAGCUAUGAAUCCACGACGUGCCAUUGCCAUUAUCAUUUGUUUCAUCUGCAAGCCAGUCCUCCCACCUCCUAUUCUCCUCAUUCCUAAUAUCCUCCUGUGCUUCCCUCAACUCAAUAAUCGCCUCAGCUCUCCUUUUCCAAGCCUCAAACUUCUCAUUAUCUGAUAACUCCUCAUCCCCUGAAUCUUCUGAUUCCAACGAAUCUUCAAGCAUAUCAUCAUCCUUUAGACCAAGCCAAUUCCCAUCAUCGUCCAAAAAGAACCUCUGCCACCAACUCCUCCUUUUAAAAUGCUUUUUCUUGGCUCUUGGCACCAACCCACAAAAUCUUUUCCUCCCAAAGCUCAACUGAACCAAACCACUUUUCAGACAACGUGAAUAAUUCAAGGAACUUUUAUUGGCAUUUCCCUCAAAAAAGACCAAGUUAUCACAUAACACCAUUGAAGUGCUCAUUAAUAACAUGUAUGAAAUAAGCCCACAUUUUUCGACCUCAUACAGGAACAAAGUUGCAAUCUUGCUCAAAGAAAUUCACCAAGAAGGCAAAGGAAACCAUGGAAUCAAUCAGAAAUUUAGAACCCACAAAUGCAUUAUCAUAACUUUAACAAACUUGAAAUCUAUCUUAUCUUCGAGACUACUAUGAAUUGAACAAGCAUACUCCCUAAGAAACAGACUAGAUAAUGAAAACUGUGACACAGUUAUCCAAAAUAUUUAUCUAAAUUGGACCAAACCCACAAAAGUGAGGAGACUGGAUCACUGAAGUGGACUGCUCGCUGGUUUCAGGGGGUUGAUGGUCCAACCAUCUUUAGGCAGACAGAGAGGAUAACGGUUUUUGGUCUAAUUUUUUUGGUUUAGAUGAACCUGUGUUUGGCCGUUUGACAGUUUUACCCUCCAGUACAAUAGUAUUCAACCAUUCAAGUAGGGAAAUCUAGGGGAAUGUAGGUAAUUCGACGGAGCAGUCUAUUUUUCUCCACUCUAAUUCUUGAAGGGUCCAUCUUUGAUAAUGCAGUGAUUGGUUCCUUUGUUUUCUUGUUUUAUUUGACAGAUAUUCAAAACUUUUUGUUAAAAUAUUGAUGUAGUCACAAGUUAUCUUUUUUCCUUUUGAAAUCUGAUUAAAUCUAUAGAAUGGAUUAGUGGGUAUACCAGUAAUUUUAACCAACAGAUAACGGAAGAGAAUUCUAGUAGAUGAGAAAGUAUGUGAAAAAGAAAGUUCAUUGAUAUUAGUACGCGCCCAUUUGUAUUUUCUUCUUUUUAUUAUUUUUGAAGCGUUCAAAGUGUCCUCGCAUUUUAUUAAAUGAAGUUUUUCGUCUUUUACUUUUAAAAUAAUAAUUUUACGUCUUUUAUAAAAUCAAAUCAAUAAGAUUUCGUCCCAAAUUAGAUUUUGGACUACUUUUUGUCCUGAAUCCAUGACGUUAUCCACACAUGAUCAUUUUUUUAAUAGCAAAGAGGUUAGGUUUUUUUUUCCGUUGACCAAAUAAUUCGAUUCAUAUUCAUUUUUGCUUCUAGAAUAAGGAAAAUCUGACCUAAACCAUAUUUGUUUUUCUUAAAAAAGUGAGGUUUGACCCAAUUCAUAUCCAUUUUUUUACUUAAAAAAAAAAGUAAGGUUUGAUGUUUUUGUAUAUAAACAAUGACUGACACGUGGGUCAUAUAAUAAUUUCAAGCUAAAAUAUCAUCAGAAAUUUAGAUUAAGAUUAAAUUUUGUCAAAUUGAAUUUAUAAGAAAUGUAAAAUUAACAUUUUAAGAGUGAAUGACAAAAAUGUUCAUUUAAUAAAAUGUGAGAAACAUUUAAAUAAUUUUCCCAUUCAUCAAAUCUCACUUGAUGGUCUAGAAUGACGGUUUCUUAAAAGGGGUAAUUUCACAAACCUCCCCGAGGUUUCUGACACUUGCACUGACCCUCCAAAGGUUCUUAAAAGGGAUAAUUUCACAAACCUCCUCCAAGGUUUCUGACACUUGCACUGACCCUCAUAAGGUUUUAAAAAUUUCACUGACCACCCUUGCUUUUGAGAUUUGGUAACAAUUCAGUCCAAAUAGGAUUAAAAUAUUAUUUUCAUAGUGAGAUGAGAUUUUUAUUCCAUGAAUGCCUUUGGUCCCUGCAUUAAUAGAAGAUUGCAAAUUAUUAAAAGGUUGAAAUGAUUAGUAAAGUUGAAGGAAUGUAAAUGCAAUUCAGGAACUUUCAAGCACCGCAUGGAAACAUAAGUAAUGUUUUAAUAGCCAUAGCAACGUCUGCCUACAAGUUCUAAACCACCAAAUUUUUUAUUCAACGGCAAGUGUAUAUAAACAUCACAAUUGCACUUACACCCUCAAGAGUAGCAAGAGUUUGGGUACAUAAAAAGUUAUUGUUUUGUGCUGCAUUUAGAGUUCAUAAUGAAAACAUUUGGCAGAAAUUAUGGCCUCUUCAAGCCAUAGGGGGAGAAUCAUGAAAUUCACCCACAUCUUUCAACAACAAAAUACAAAUUUUACUUAAGAUUCAGGAAAAAGACAACAAAAUACAAAUUUUACUUGAGAUUCAGAAAAAACACACCAACAUUUACUUCAACUCUUAAUAUAUUCCUAUUAGGGUAAAUUUUAUAUACAUGGAAAGUGUAUACACUAUCACCGUUAGAUUCAUGAUACAUGUGCAAAAGUUGAAUUUCAAAUCUAAAUUUUGCAUAGUUAUCAGUCAUCCAAAACUAACAUUGUAUAUACUGUUAGUGUUGGAAAGAUUAAUUAUUUCUAUUAUCCCUUACCGUAUAAAUUUACACAUAACAACAAGAUACAUAAAGUAUAAGAAUUUAGCUUUAUUACUAACUCAAAAAUCUACUGAUCAAGCAAAAUAGUUUAUAAUGUAUUGUAGAUAAUAUACUAGUUUUCUUGAAACUAAUUCACAAGAACCUUUUUUAAUUGUAGGCUAAGAUGAAAAGGAAAUCAAACCUUGGUUUCUACUUUAAAUCAUCUUCACUCCCAACAAAUGAACAAUGUCUUCACUUUGUCUCCAUUUUCUUCUUCUUUUUUCAUCUCUAUUUCUUCCCUUCUAGUUAUAUGGCUACAAUAUCAAAAACUUGUUCAAUCAUCCUUGUCAAAUCAGACUAGGCACAAAAAUGGCACCAAAUUUCUUGGCGCCUUUUUGUAACAAAGUUUUAAUCAGUUUAAUUAGACAUUAAAUUUUUGUUAUUCUAGUUAAAUGUAAUUAACUAAUCCAAAUGACGCCAAAUUUUUGUUACCCAAAUUUACGUUAGUUAUUAGUCCCAACUUCAUAGGACAAAGUGGUAAUUUCAGCUACCAUGAUGUAAGCAAAGGGCCCCAAAUCUCUAUCAUGGGAGGUCAAUGAAAUUUUUAAAACCUUAAGGGGUGUUAGUGCAAGUGUCAGAAACUUUAGGGGAGCUAUGUGAAAUUAUCUAAGAUUCAGCACGCAUGUUGCCUAAGUUCAAAUAAUUGCACAUCACUACUUCUUGCACCUGAUCUUCUCAAUCUUUCCCUCUCCUUUUGUCUUUUAAUUUCUUGCUUUUUCUUGGUGGGAUACGAAGAUAUUUGUGAAGAUAGGUGAAAAUAUCACAAUAAAUUUUGAAGCUAAAUCUUUGUGUACAGUUUUAGUACUCUAGCUCUCCCGCGAGAAAAAGGACUAAAAAUAGGUUAAUCAAACAAUACUUUAAAUGAGACAAAUGUAUAUGAAGCAAAGAAGAACCAAUACAAAUUGUCGCCCAACUUUCUAGAAUAUCUCAUUUUAGUUUUUAGAGUUUGAAACAAAAAUCUCAUUUUACAUUUUUUUAAAUUUCAAGUUUACAUAAUAAUCAUGUAAUACUUUCACCUAAGCUUGCUAAAAAUAAGCAUAGUAGCUACGUAUGGAAGCCAAUGCACAAAGAAACUUAGACCUCUAAAUUUUGUACCAUCACGUCUAAUGCCAUUACUAUUAAAAAAGAGAAAAUCAUUUAAAACAUCUCUCACAUUUUGUAAAAUAACUUUUUUUGUCCAUUACUUUUAAAAAUAUAAUUUUACGUCCCUUACAAAUUCACAUUGGUCAAAUUUGGUCCCUACUUAAAUUUCCGACUAGUUUUUUGUCGAAAUUCACCACGUGCCUAACACGUGAUCAUAUUUUAAGGGCAAAAUUGUCAAAUCGAAUUUUAUAUAAUUCGAUUCAUAAUCCCUCACAUUUCAUAAAAUAAAAUUUUUCGUCCCUUACAUUUCACAAAAUGAAUUUUUUCAUCCUUGAUAUUUUUCAAAAUGAAUUUUUUCAUUUUUUAUUGAUCAUGUGUGUGAAUAAUUUUUUUUUAAAUUCAUGUAUAUAUCUAUUUGAUUUCACCUGAACAGCACAAAUAGCAUGUGAAAUCAAAUAGAGAUAUAUUACAUACUAUUCGUACUGCUCAAAUGAAAUCAAAUAGAUAUAUACAUGGGUUUAAAACAAUUGUUAGCUUUUCACUUAUAUUCAUUUUCUUUUACUCGAAAUUUGAAAAUAAAGAAGACAUUUAAUCCUAAAUAUUAUCGAGUGUUUAUAUUGAAUUAAAUUUGGACAGAAAAAAUAAACAAAAGAAAAGUAUGACAAAAAGAAAUAAAUGAUUGGCAUUUUCAAAUUUUAAGACAAUCGUAAGGCAAGUAAUUCAACUGUUGGUCUUAAAAGUAUCGAGUAGAAAUUUUAUAUUUAAACUGAAAUUUGUUAGCACAAUUAUAAAAUUCGGCUUAUGACUCAUUAAUUAGAUGACAUUAUUAUACAAUUCAAUAAAUAAAUUAUUACCAAAAAAGAAAUGUCACAAAUAUUGAAUAGGUUCAAAUGGUGAAAUCAUAUAAAUAUAUACGUAGAUUCAAAUAAAAUUAUUAGUUUUAAACCCCUAUAUAUAUUUAUUGAAUAGCAUGUGUAUAACUACGAUUAGCAUGUUUAGAUGAAAUCCAAUAGAGAUAAAUUAUAUGUUAUUCAUACUGUUCAGAUAAAAUCAAAUAGACAUAUACGUGGGUUUAUAGAAAAAAAAAGCUAUUCAUACACAUGAUCAAUGAGAGAUGAAAACAUUUAUUUUGAAAAAUGUGAGGGAUGGAAAAAUUCAUUUUUUGAAAUGUGAGGAGCGAAACAAUUCAUUUUCUAAAAUAUUAGGGACGAAAAAAUUUAUUUUGUAAAAUGUUAGGAACUAUGAAUCAGAUUAUGUAAACAUUUGAUUUGACAAUUUUGCCCUUAAAAAAUGAUCACAUGCAAGUCACGUGGUGAAUUCCGAUAAAAAACUAGUCAAAAACCUAGGUAGGAACCAAAUUUGAUCAAUAUGAAUUUGUAAGAGACGUAAAAUUACAUUUUUAAAAGUGAGGGACGAAAAAAAUCAUCUUGUAAAAUAUGAUGGACGUUUUGAACGAUUUUUCCAUUAAAAAAAUAAACAAAAAUGUAAUUACACACAAUGAUAAACACAUUUUUGUUAUAUUAGUAAAAGUGAAUGACCAAAAAGUCACUAAACUAUUAAGUAUGACAAGGAUUAGUUAUCAAACCCUUUUUUUUGGUGGCCAUCAAAUCUUUUUUUUUUUUCGUUGGUCACAAAGGUCACUAAACUGGUAAAACCUAACCACUAAGGUCAUUUUGUCAAGCUUCACUCGUAAACACAAUCGAUAAAUUAUUAAAAUUUAACGAUUUUUUUUGGCAAAAUAACCUUUGGCAACCAGAUGUUUUAUCAGUAGAAUUUGACAAAAAGACCUUGUUGACCCGUUUUCACCAGUUUAGUGACUUUUGUGACCACAUAAAAAUUUUGGUGACUAACCCGUGCCAUACUUAAUAAUUUUGCGACCUUGUUACUCUAUCUGUAAAACUCACCUACUCUUGCAUUGUACCAAUAAAAAAUUUUCCAACUCAAGAUUGCCUACCAUUCAACACUGAUCGCAUUUUCAUCAGAUUCUCAUAAAAUCACGUGGUUCUACUGUUACGUUUAUAAAAGAUUUAGGACUAACUUACCGCACCUUAAAACUCUGUUGGGUAAAAAUGUCAAAUACUUGAUAGUUUAAUGACCAUUAAGGAAAUUUGCUCGCAAUAAUCAGAACGCCGUCGUCGUCCCUUGCCAAGCGGAGCAGCAUCUUCUCUGGUUUUGCUGUUUCAGUGUAGGGUUUUGGAAUAGAGGGAAAUUGAUUGCUAGGGUUUAGCGAGGCUGAGAAGAAGAAGAAGAAGAAGGGAAGGAUGAAGCCGGUGGUCGGAAUGGUGGUGUCGAACAAGAUGCAGAAGUCGGUGGUGGUGGCCGUCGACAGACUAUUCCACCACAAGCUCUACAAUCGCUACGUCAAGCGCACCUCCAAAUUCAUGGCUCACGACGAACACAACCAAUGCAACAUCGGCGACCGCGUAUGAACUUUUCUCCUCAUUUCUCCUUUUUUUUGGAAAGAAAAGAAUGAGGCAUUUUUUAUAUUUGCAUUAUUGAUUGCUUCGUGGGAAAAUGGAAAAUUAAGAGGGGGAACAUUCUUUAAUAUCAACUUGUUUGUCAUGGAAAUGUCUUGGAAUCAAACAAAUUGUGGAGUGAUUGAUAAAGAGUUGAUGUCGGGUGAAAGUUUCGACUAUUUUUAGUUCAAUUUCUUUUUCGUUAUUAAGAAUGGAUUUUGAUGUCGGGAAUAUUUGUUCUUUCAAUGUAUUAUGUUGUUAACUGCGUUUUAUAGGGGUUGUGUAUUGGGUAAAGUGUCGUUUUUUCUGAUCAAGGAUGAUUGUGCAUUAAUCAUUUACAGGUCAAAUUGGAUCCUUCCAGGCCUUUAAGCAAGCGUAAGAACUGGGUUGUUGCUGAAAUUUUGAAAAAGGCUCGAAUUUAUACACCUCAAUCCGCUGCAGAUUCAACCAACAUGGCAGAUUUAUCGUCUUCUAUGAGCUCGGGCAGCACUAAGCCAGCUCAAAACUCGUCAUCGUCCGCCUAAGGUUGAGUGAUACUUAUGGAAAUGCAUGCACAACAAUACUGGCUCAUGCAGAAUUGGCACAGAUAAAUAUUGCUGCUCGCUAUGUGUGAUGUGAUGUAUUUCUCUUCCCAAUGCCUAGCAGUUGAUCCAACGUUUUGAGUUCUAGUUAUUGAACUUUCUUGUUUUUGCUAGUUUUGGACUUCCUUGUUUUUCCUUAUUGGCUUAUCCAAGCAGAGUCAGGUGUUGCAUUUAAGAUCAGUUAAGUAUGUCUAGAGUAUUCCAGCAAAAUCAUUAAUUUACAUCUGAUGAAAUGUUUUCAUCUUUUAGGAUGUUGAGGUCUCUCUAGCUCUAUCUUUUCCCUUUGUGGUUAGACAUUAGCCCUAAGACAUGAAAGAAGAAAUUUGCAUUUAGUUAUUCAUUUGAAUGAUGUGUAAUUCAGAUCAAAUGUCAUAUGAUUUUCUCAUAUAGUCUCCUGCCCUCUGAACAAAACCAGUGGUCAAUCACUUCCCUUGGGUAUGGUCUGAUAAAUAUCUAGAAGUAUGAUUCGGAGAUUUAAACUUAAUUUUAUACCAGUAAGCCUUUUCACUGUCAGUGAAUUUGAUUCAAAUGUUUUCAUUAAGCUCCCUGAACCAGCUCAUGCUGUUUAUAGUUGAAAAAGCACUAAGUCUGCAACUGGAGAAGCAAUAGUUAGAAUUGACGUAUAUACGCCCUUCUCCUUGCUGCUUUUCUGGGACUUUCACCAAACCUCUGCCAAGUUGCAAAUGUGCCUUGGUGAACUCUAGAACUACCCUAGGUUGCAGGAAGUUUUUUUAACCAACAAAGGUUGUAAAGUUUUCUUCAAUUUUUGACACGUGCUUUGGCAAGAUUCUGCGGCAUGAGAUUUCAUUUCUGGCAAGGCUUCUUUUGUCUAGGUGUUUUUUUUUUCUCCUUCAUUACUGGUCAUACGUAUCUUUCAUGUUUGAAUGCAGGACACAUGCAGCAUGAGAACAAAUAGCUUGGUGGCCAAAGCACUUAAGCUCACUUUAUAUUGAAAUAUGUUCUGAACUUCAUUGGACUUAUUAAAGAGAACUAUUCUAUAAACACUUCUCAUUCAUCAUCUCAGUUAUGAACAUUUACACUCAAAAUAAGUCUAUCUCUGGAUGGUAAAUAUUUUUUUAGCAUUUAAUACUAUUUAGUUUUUCUCAACUAUCAUAGUGAUGAAGUAAAAACUAAUUAGCGUUUUGCUCUGGAACAGGCUCUUUUAAUUUGCUUAUACCAUGUAGUUAAGUGCAUUGGGUGUACAUAUUGGAAGCAACAGUGAUUUAAUCAGGUCCAUGCAUUAGUAUAGAAUGUGAGGACCCACGGAGCAAUUUUUUAUCUGCAUGAAACCAUAAUUUAAUAGUGAUUUGGUCCAUGGGGUGGUUUUGCAUAAAGGACACCCUAUAUUUGAUGUUUGAUGAUGAUCACUGAUAUGUUUGUGAUUGUAUGAUUUGAUGGUAACUUUCAGAGUAUUGUAAAACUUGAAUAGGAUUUGCUUUCUGCCAGGUGAAGCAUUGGGGAGUACUGGUACUGCAGCUUGUGCUAUGGCCCUAUCGUCAUAGAGGGGAUCACAAAGAUUGAUACUGGACUGCAUCUUGAUUUAGUUUUUGUUACCAUCCCUACUGUAGAAGAGGACCAUGCUGAUUUGAUGGUGGUUUGCCGAGGAUUUGUCUCCAUCUGUAUACUGAUCAGAAUUAUAAAUAAACUACUGGGCCAAAAUAGUUUGCAUUAGAAUUCGUGACUUCUUGUAGUAAUUCCAUGAUCUUCAAACCCUUCCAUCCCAUCCCCCAUCGGUCUUUCCUCUUCCUUCUUCUUUUCCCCUGGAGGAAAAAGGCCAAAAAGGUCAAACCAGAGAUUAUCUACUCAUAAUUGUCGACUGAAAUAGCUGCUUUUUUGGCUUUUUGUUCUUUUGUUGACUGGAAUGGCUAAUACUGGAGUUCCAUAUAACUUUUUUCUUUGCUGCUCUGCUAGCGGUUUCAUUUACAAGUGAUUCAAAAGGACAGUGAUGAAUUUGUCAGUCAGGCUUUGUGAAUUUCAUUAUCUCAAUGAUGCUUAAUAAUAUGGUAAUUACUGGUCUCAAAAGUCAAGGUUCUCAGUGAAUUGUUUAAAUAGUACCUAAUCUUAAACACAAGUGGAAUUGAUUAUGGAAGUAAUGGCAGUAGAUCCACUUUCCCUGAGUAAAGCUUCAUACAAGGUAAAUGGUUGGCUGAUUCUUUACUUGAAAUCUGAAGACGAAGUCACUACAGGUGAUGUAACUGAACUUUGUACAAAACAUAUUGAAGUAUAAUUGCUACUCCAAGAGCAAUCCGGAUCGUUGAUUUGAACCACUUGGCAAUCAUGAAGGAUGAACAAGCUUCUACUUGUAAUUGGGCAGACAGACAAAGUAAAGAUUUCCGAAAGCAAACCAUGGCAUAUUGCAGGAUAAACCUGGGGAAGGAGUCCGGGAGGGGGCUUCUUGAGCUAAAAGUGCCACUGGUAAAAGAGAAAUCAACCCAAAAUUUGUUUGCUGUAAUGAACUGAAAACUUGGACUUCAUGUCAAAGACAAUAGUUGAUGCGGAAAAGGGCAUCUGGGUAUUGGUACUGUGUAGAUCCAUCUCAUUUCUGCUAAACAUUUCCCUUUUUUCAUCUUUCCUAAUGACCAAAUAAUUUCGGGAUUGACAUAAAACAUCCUGAUGCUGUUGAUCCUUUAGCUUUUAAUGCCUUUGUUUCACCGUUCCAUUCAAAUUUCUCAGUUUAGUUCACAGAAAAUUAUCCAGCUCGUGGACUCUCGUCUUCUGUUCUGAUUCAGGCAACCUGGUUCUUGUUUUAGAUGACACAAUGAAGGUCACAAACUUAUAAUAGAUUGGAGAUGAAUUUCAGAAGCUGGUAUGCUACUCAGACAUUUUGCGAGUGAUAACAUAUAUAUCUUCGAGCCUCCUUUCUUUCAGCUCUCUGUUUUCUCAUCCAGAAAAUUACUAGACUCGCUUUAUGGAACAAUCACCGGUUUGUAUCAUUCUUGCAUCCCAAUUCAAUAAACUUGUGAUACCUGUAUUAGAUGACACCACGAAGGUUAAAACCUUAAAAUAGGUACUGAUAAACAGUGAGUUCUAGCAUGAGGUUUGGAUUUUUGCACAUUAUAUCAUAUGCGUCUUCAAUUUUUUCCUUGCCUACAGGCAAAGACCCAGCAAACAACCUUUUGUGCAUUUACCAAAAGAAUGGUGGCAUGUCAAAUUGAGAACAAUGUUUUCUCAUCCAGCUAAAUCUUGCUAAAUGCACAAGUUUUUACCAAUUUCCUUAUUUUGACAUUCUUCCUCAUUUCUUCUACACCAUGCCAGUUACCAGAUUCAGCAUAAAUCAUACUCAACAAAGUAUAAUUGGCAGCAUUGUCAGGCUCCGACUCAAUCAGCUUAUGCACCAACAGUUCCGCAACUUCCAGCUUUCCAUGAAGCUUACAAGAAGAAACCAAGGAACUCCAUAUUCUGGGACUUGGUUUCAUAGGCAGUCUAGACACAAGAUCACAAGCAUCUUCCAGUUUCCCCGCCCUUCCAAGAAGAUCAAUAUAACAAGCAUAAUGCUCUAUAGUAAGUGAUAUUUUCUCAUCUUUCAUCGUUUCAUUAAAGAGCUUGUAUCCCUCUUCCACAAGGCCAGCAUGGUUGCAAGCUGUCAUGACUUCAAGAAGUGCAAUUGCAUCAGCUUUCAUCCCACUCUCUUGCAUCUCACCAAAGAGUUGCAAGGCAUCCUCCCCGCAACCAUACAGACCAUAAGCACUAAUAAUUGCAGUCCAUGAAACAGAAUCCGUAAGUGUCAUCUCCUUGAAAAUCUUAACCGAAUCCUGAAGACAACCACACUUGGCAUACAUACUAAUGAGCGAGUUUUGGAUAUUCAAUUCAGAUAUCAAGCAAGAUUUCAGGACAUAGCCAUGGACUCCACCUGCAUGGCAUGUUGACAAGAGAUUGGUACAGGCAGAAAUCACAGACAAUAAUGUAACACUAUUGGGUUGAAAUCCCUUUUUCUGCAUUUCAUUAAAGAGCUCUAGAGCUUCUUCAGCAGUUUCUUUCUUCCGUGAAUAGCCUGCAAUUAUACAACUCCACAUCACAACAUCCUUUGUAGUUGAUCUUUCAAAAAUAAGCUUUGCAGCCCAAAUUUCUCCACAUUCACAAUACAUAUGCAUGAGAGCUGAGCGGAAUCUAAAAUCCCUAUCAAACUCGUGACGAAAAGCAUAUCCGUGGAUCUCUGUUCCACGAUUAACUGAACCAUACUUAGCACAUGCUGGUAAAAUACUAAUUACUGUCACCCUAUUUGGUUUAACUUUUUCAACCUGCAUUGCACGAAAACAAUCCAGUGCCUUGGCAUAGUCAUGAUCUGCCACACAUCCCGUGAUCAUAGCAGUCCAUGAGACUUCAUUUCUAACUUCCAUUCUAUCAAAUACACGAAAAGCAGUCUCCUGAUCAUGACAUCUCCAGUAAAAAUCUACCAAUGCGGUUGACCUGAAAACCGACCAGUCAAAUCUUUCAUCCACUGUAACAAUAGCAUGAAUCAAUCUUCCUAAUCGAAAAUUUUCUGUCUGACUACAAGCUGAUAAAACGCUAGCAAUCAACUCGGGCUUGGGCUCAAAUCCACAAAUAUACAUAUCCUUAAACAUCUUCAUUGAUUCCAACAAAAACCCAUUUUGCAUAUAGCAAUUUAUCAUCGAAUUCCAAGAAAUGGUGUCUCUCUGAGGCAUUGUGUCGAACAUUUUGUAUGCACUCUUUGUAUCUGAGAAUUUUGCAUACAUAGAGAUGAGAGAAUUCGAAACUGUAGAUUCUGAAUCAAACCCAUUUUUAAAGGCAUAGCAGUGAAGCUGAAGGCCCAAGGGAUUGUGGGUUUGGGAACUUGCAGUGGCUUUGAUGAUCGACGGCAGUAUAAAGACGCUGCUUUCAUGGUUUGGAAAGAAGGGGUGGACAUGGUCUUUGAAAAGGUUGAUGGCUUUGUCAUAGAGCCCUUUAGCCAAGAAGUCCUUGAUUUGGGCGCGAGCAUCAGCAAUUGAUGAUGUUAUGGGACCUGACGCUGAAGCUGAAGCUGAGGUGAAACGUCUUAUUAUUUGGUGCAUUUUGUUGGGUCUAAUUUCAUAGCCAUUUUAUACGAUUAGAUGCCAGACUCAACAAUCCGUGCCAUAUCGCUUCUUAUUUUAGAGCUUCAAUUUGGUCUUUUGUCAGAUACAAAACGUUUUUGCCAAUUGCAGUUAUCACACCGCCAAUUGGCAAAAACGUUUUGCCAGUUGGCUGGAUGGGUAAGUUUUGUGGGUUCCUCUUAGAUUUACCUCUUAGGUCUUCUUAGCUUUAACCCUCAGUCAAAUUUAAUUAGUUGGGUGUGUGUAUUAUAUCGUCUUCGAGAAAAGAAAAAAAAAAGUUAUCACACCGCAAGUACUACUAAGAUUUUGGUUUGGUGAUUAGAGUUAAGGCUCGUAUCAUGUAUUUUAUAUUUUGAGAAGAUCUUACGGUAUAAAUUUUCGGACAAAGACUUAUUUGGGAGCGAAUAUAGUAUAAUUAUUUUGAAUGAACGGAUAUACCAACAUUUUUUUUUUUUCAAAAUCUCAGACCCUUUAAGACCAUCGAGAAUCCUUACACUUGAAAUCAAACCACAAUUUGGCCGAUACAAGAUGUUCAUAAAAGAUGUUUUAAUUUAAAGACAAAUCCAUCAUACUUUGUAUUCUGACUUGUUUUGUAAUUUGUUUUAUUCUACAUUUUUCUUGAAGAAACUAGAAAAUUUAUGCCUAACUUCUCAAUUUGCCUAAAAAUUUUGAGUCAAUAACCAUCUUCUAGUUAACACUAUAGUCCAAGUGAUGUUAUACAUAAGCAAAUAAGCAUUAACUGCCACCAUCUCCCUAGUGCAAUAACUACAUAAGCAUAUUGAUAUUUUGCCUCAAAAGAAAAAAAGCACAUUGAUAUUUCACAUAUUAAACUGACUAAGGUUUUUUCAUCUUGAGUUUCAAGCCCCGUUCACAUAUGGUCAACAUAAAUUUUACAUAAACUCAACUUUGGGCUUGAACCUCAUAGAUUUCACCUUUCAGCUUCACAUAUGCUAAGCCCUUUAAACUCAUUUUACAACUGAAUUUUCUUGAGGAGCUGAGUGGGAGAUCUCAUCUAACGAAUGCUUGCAUCAACCAGUUUUUUUUUUUUUUUUUUUUUGACAUCUUUCAACUUUCAAAUUCAUCAAAUUCAUAAUUAGGGGAAAAGAAGGAACUCUUAUCUGGCCAUCUAGGAGAUUUAACUUAACAAAUGCGUACGUAUGGGAAUGAAUCACUUGAAAUCAAAGCUUAGCUUUCAGAAGACACAUCUGGGAGCAAUAAAACAGCCAUAUCCACGACUUCUCUGCUCCUUUUGUUUGCUCGACCAAACCUCAGUCUUCCUCCCUGUCUUUCUAAUUGCUUUCAUUAUGAUCUUGAGAUCAACAUAGCCCAUCACAGUGAUUUUGUUCAAAAUCACAUUUGUCUCUACACAAGUAAUACCUACAAGACAUGCAUUAGAUACCAUAACCCUCUACAAUUCGCUUGAUCAAAUCCACUAAAAUCCCAAAAAAAAAAAAAAAGGAAAGUGGAAAAGUUUUAUGAGGAAUUAAAAACAAAUAUAACCCACCUUUAAUCUUCCACAAUUCUUUUUGAAUUGCUUUCUCGCAUGCUUUGCAAUGCAGGCGUACUUUCAACUCGAAAACCUGAAAAAAAAAAAAAAAAAAAUUUCCCCAAAAGUUUUCAGUUGUUUAGAGGACUUUUACUAACAUGAGAAAUAUAUAGAGUAAAAUAAGACAACGAAAUGUGGAACCUCCAUUAAUGGCUAGUCUUCUGAUUCAGCUAUCUGCAAGAGAAAUGCACAUUCAUAUAUACUAGCUAGGAAAGUGCAAGAGGGAAUAUAUAGCGGGUGAUUAUCAGAAGGGUGGCUGAAAUGAUUGUUGGUUUUAUCAAUUAUGAGCAAGUAAUCAUAUGAUCAUAGCAUGCUUGUGACUUUUGAUAGUCCAUUUUUCAAGUAGGUAUUAGUCCACUUUAAACCUUAUGAUGGCCACCUAACUAACUUGAAUUCUAAGUCAGUGAUUUUAGUACUUUAAUAAUGUAUAACUAAUUAAAUAAAUCCACUUCUAAUGAACAGCGACAGGUUUCAAACCCUCUAGGCCACUACCCUUUUUGCAAACUAUGCUGUAAACAUAAAAAAUUUAGGCACCUUGAUCACAACAAGCCGCAGUCUGACAUUGAAUCUCUUUCAGAGCUAUUCUAUGGGAUUCGGCUACUUCAAUUUGAGAUCAUACCAAUUUCACGUAUAUAUACUGUUUGUAGUUUUUGUUGCAAUAUCCAUGCAUGCUUUUCUAUCUCCUUUAAUUUUUUGGUGUAAAGUUUUUCAAAACAAGUUUUUGUACAGAGAUGGAGGUGACGAAGCAGUUCAUAUCCCUAAAGUAUUUUGAUUCAAUCUUUAAUUUGUACUUGCAUGUAAAGGGAAGUUUAGUUUCAAUAGAUACAAUUAAUUGCCUUUGUGUGUUGUGGAUCAUGUUGAGGUGAUCUUCACUAGGGAAACUAGCUAAUCGAAUUUCGAUAAUAUUGUUUAAAUAGAAAGCUUUCCAUAUUAGCCCUGACAAUACCGAUUAUAUCUUAUCAGCUAAUAUGUGGAUUUUCCAUUUCGAGUUACAAGGUUCCAUUUACUUUUGAUAGUGUGAUGCGCUUCGUUGCACGACUGUGUGACCUACCAUGCACGAAUAUCAUUUUACAAUACUUCUCGUAUAUAUGGAAAGAGAGCAAAAUCCAACCUUUUGAUGUUGUUCAUUAUUUUUUCACUUUUUUUGAAAUGCGAGCCCUACCAUCCUUUCACCAGCAGAUUAAAAUGUAAAAGUUUGUCACAUAAAUUUUAUUUUAUUUUGUCAAUCGUCACUUUAUCUAUAAUAUUCUACACUAUCCUAAUCUAAAGGGGAGAUCCAACUGGACCUAAAGGGAUCGAUGGGGAUUGAACCACCGCCGAACCAGACGGGUGCACCACGCACCCAUUUAGAUUUUUUAAGAAGCCACUUAACGUGGCAAAUGGUAGGAGGCCCAACAGGUCAGGAAGUUUGUUCAGAGGGUGCAAUAUUAAUAUUAAUUUUAAUUUAAAAUGUAUUCGUUUGAAAAUUUUUAGUAUAAUUAAAUAUUUGUCACAAGUACACCAAUUAAUUUAAUUAAUAUUACAUAUAUUUUUUAAAAAAAUUAUUUACUGCUUGUGAUUAAUCAUUUGAAAUUAUUAUCAAGCCAAGUUAUUUUAUAAAAUUGCAUAGAACUUUAAAAUAUGUAUAAGACUAGUAGAUGUAAAGAUUUAGUAACCUGAACUAUAUUUGUUUUUUCUUAAAAAAGUGAGAUUUGACCCAAUUCAUAUUCAUUUUUUUACUAAAAAAAAGGUAGGGUUUGAUGUUUUUAUAUAUAAAUAGUGGGUCAUAUAGUGAUUUCAAGCUAAAAUGUGAUUAUAAGUUUAGGUUAAGAUCAAAUUUUGUCAAAUUGAAUUUAUAAGAAAUAUAAAAUUAAUAUUUUAAGAGUGAAUGACAAAAACGUUCAUUUAACAAAAUGUGAGAGACAUUUAAACGAUUUUCCCAUUCAUCGAUUCUCACUUGAUGGUCUGGAAUGACACUUUUCUUAAAACCAUGAAAAGGAUCAUUUGACUAAGUAAUUUUAUCAUUUGACUAAGUAAUUUUAGGGAUAAUUUCACAAACGUCCUCGACAUUUCUAACACUUGCACUAAUACCUCCUAAAGUUUUAAAAAUUUCACUGACCACCCUUGCAUUUGAGAUUUUGAUAACAAUUCAGUCCAAAUAGGAUUAAAAUAUUAUUUUCAUGAGUGAGAUGAGAUUUUUAUUCCAUGAAUGCCUUUGGUCCUUGUAUUAGUAGAAGAUUGCAAGUUAUUAAAAGGUUGAAAUGAUUAGUAAAGUUGAGGCGAUGUAAAAACAGUUUAGGAACUUUCAAGCACCACGUGGAAACAUAAAUAAUGUUUUAACAGCCAUAGCAACGUCUAGUGCAAGUUCUAAACCACCAUUUUUUAUUCAGCAGCAAGUGUAUAUAAACAUCACAAUUGCAUUUACACCCUCAAGAGCAGCAAGAGUUUGGUACACAUAAAGUUAUUGUUUUGUGCUGCAUUUAGAAUUCAUAAUGAAAACAUUUAGCAGAAAUUAUGGCCUCUUCAACCCAUAGGGAGAAUCAUUAAUUUCACCCCCAUCUUUCAACAACAAAAUACAAAUUUUACUUAAGAUUCAGAAAUACACACCAACAUUUACUUCAACUCUUAAUAUCUUUCUAUUAUCCCUUACUGUAUAAAUUUACACAUAACAACCAGAUACAUGAAGUCCCAGAAUAUAGCUUUAUUACUAACUCAAAAAUCUAUUGAUCAAGCAAAAUAGUUCAUAAUGUAUUGUAGAUAACAUACUAGUCUUCUUGAAACUAAUUCACAAGAACAUUUUUUUAUUGUAGGUUAAGAUGAAAGGGAAAUUCAAACCUUGGUUUCUACUGUAAAUUAUCUUCACUCCCAACAAAUGAACAAUAUCUUCACAUUGUCUCCAUUUUCUUCUUCUUUUUUCUUUGUUUUUUUUUUCAUCUCUAUUUCUUCUCUUCUAGUUAUAUGGCUACAAUAUCAAAAACUUGUUCAAUCAUCCUUGUCAAAUCAUACUAGGCACAAAAAUGGCACCAAAUUUCUUGGCGCCUUUCUGUAACGAAGUUUUAAUUAGUUUAAUUAGACAUUAAAUUUUUGUUAUUCUAGUUAAAUGUAAUUAACUAAUCCAAAUGACGCCAAAUUUUUGUUACCCAAAUUUAAGUUAGUUAUUAGUCCCAACUUCAUAGGACAAAGUGGUAAUUUCAGCUACCAUGAUGUAAGCAAAGGGCCCAAAAUCUCUACCAUGGGAGGUCAAUGAAAUUUUUAAAACCUCAAGGGGUGUUAGUGCAAGUGUCAGAAACUUUAGGGUAGCUUUGUGAAAUUAUCUAAGAUUCAGCACGCAUGUUGCCUAAGUUCAAAUAAUUGCACAUCACUACUUCUUGCACCUGAUCUUCUCAAUCUUUCCCUCUCCUUUUGUCUUUUAAUUUCUUGCUUUUUCUUGGUGGGAUACGAAGAUAUUCGUGAAGAUAGGUGAAAAUAUCACAAUAAAUUUUGUAGCUAAAUCUUUGUGUACAGUUUUAGUACUCUAGCUCUCCCGCGAGAAAAAGGACUAAAAAGAGGUUAAUCAAACAAUACCUUAAAUGAGACAAAUGUAUCUGAAGCAAAGAAGAACCAAUACAAAUUGUCGCCCAACUUUCUAGAAUAUCUCAUUUUAGUUUUUAGAGUUUGAAACGAAAAUCUCAUUUUACAUUUUUUUUUUAAAUUUCAAGUUUACAUAAUAAUCAUGCAAUACUUUCACGUAAGCUUGCUAAAAAUAAGCAUAGUAGCUACUCAUGGAAGCCAAUGCACAAAGAAACUUAGACCUCUAAAUUUUGUACCAUCACGUCUAAUACCAUUACUAUUAAGAAAAUAAACAAAAAUGUAAUUACACACAAUAAUAAACACAUUUUUGUUAUAUCAGUAAAAGUGAAUGACCAAAAAGUCACUAAACUAUUAAGUCUGACAAGGAUUAAUUAUCAAACUUUUUUUUAUGGCCUCAAAGGUCACUAAAUUGGUAAAACCUAACCACCAAGGUCAUUUUGUCAAGCUCCACUCGUAAAACAAUUGAUAAAUUAUUAAAAUUUAACGAUUUUUUUUGACAAAAUAACCUUUGGCAACCCAUUGUUUUAUCAGUAGAAUUUAACAAAAUGACCUUACUAAUCCGUUUUCACCAGUUUAGUGACCUUUGUGGCCACAUAAAAAGUUUAGUGGUUGUCUCGUGUCAUACUUAAUAGUUUAGUAACCUUUCUGGCCAUUCACUUUAUCUGUAAAAUUCACAAACUCUUGCAUUAUACCAAUAAAGAAUUUUUCAACUCAAGAUUGCCUACCAUUCAACACUGAUCGCAUUUUUAUUAGAUUCUCAUAAAAUCACGUGGUUCUACUGUUAUGUUUAUAAAAGAUUUAGGACUAAUUUACUGCACCUUAAAACUCUAUUGGGUAAAAAUGACAAAUACCUGAUAGUUUAAGGACCAUUAAGAAAAUUUGCCAGAAGAAGAAGACAACCAAUGCAACAUCGGCGACCGCGCAUGAACUUUUCUCGUCAUUUCGAACGAGGCUUUUUUUAUAUUUGCAUUAUUGAUUUCUCAGUGGGAAAAUGGAAAAUUAAGAGGAGGAACAUUCUUUAAUAUCAACUUGUUUGUCAUGGAAAUGUCUUGGAAUCAAACAAAUUGUGGAGUGAUUGAUAAAGAGUUGAUGUCGGGCGAAAGUUUCGACUAUUUUUAGUUGGGUAAAUUAUAUUUUACCCCCUAAUAAAUACAUGACAUAUUAACCCCGUAUGAUUUUUAUAUUUUACCAUAUAAUCCACUUAUGGUUUAAUAUUUUACCAUAUAACCCCUUAUGAUUUCUAAAAUAUACACAUAACCCCCCUUGACUAAUACAUAAAUUUCAAUUUUACAGAAGGGUAAUUUUGACAUUUUAGAUGACGCCGUUAUGAAUGAUCAUUCCUGUCACUUUAAUCCAAACCAUAAGGGGGUUAUGUAUAGCUUUUGAAACCAUAGGGGGGUUAUAUAAAAAAAAAUGCUAAAUCACAGGGGGUAAAGUGAAAUUUGCCCUUUUUAGUUCAAUUUCUUUUUCGUUAUUAAGAAUGGAUUUUGAUGUCGGGAAUAUUUGUUCUUUCAAUGCAUUAUGUUGUUAACUCCGUUUUAUAGGGUUGUGUAUUAGUUAAAGUGUCGUUAAAUCCGUGCCCAUAUCGCUUCUUAUUUUAGAGCUUCACUAUGGUCUUUUGUCAGAUACAAAACGUUUUUGCCAAUUGCAGUUAUCACAAUGCAAAUACCACUAAGAUUUUGGUUUGGUGAUUAGAGUUAAGGCUCGUAUCACGUAUUUUCUAUUUUGAGAAGAUUUUACGGUAUAAAUUUGCAGACAAAGACUUAUUUGGGAGCGAAUAAUUAUUCUGACUAAGUAAACAUACCAUCAUUUUUUUUUCAAAUCUCGAGCUCUUAAGAUCAUCGAGAGUUUUUACACUUGAAAUCAAACCACGAUUUGGCCGAAACAAGAUGUUCAUAAAAGAUGUUUUAAUUUAAAGACAAAUUCAUAUAUUUUUACACAGAGUUGCAAGCCCUGUUCACAUAUGGUCAACAUAAAUUUUAGGAAAAAUCGUCCAAAACGUCCCUCACAUUUUGUAAAAUGACUUUUUCCGGCCCUCACUUUUAAAAGUGUAAUUUUAUAUCCCUUACAUAUUCACAUCGAUCAAAUUUGGUCCCUAAUUAGGUUUCCGAUCAUUUUUUGGCCAGAAACAUCAUGUGCAAGGCAAGUGAUCAUUUUUUAAGGGUAAAUUUGUCAAAUUAUAUUUUACAUAAUCUGAUCUAUAGUUCUCCACAUUUUAUAAAAUAAAUUUUUUCGUCCCUCACAUUUUAUAAAAUAAUUUUUUUCAUCCCUCACUUUUCACAAAAUGAAUUUCUCCAUCCCUACAUUUCAAAAAAUGAAUUUUUCAUUUCUCACUAAUUAUGUGUGUGAAUACAUUUUUUUUUAAAUACAUGUAUAUAUCUAUUUGAUUUUGUUUAAUAAUAAUAGCAUAAACACAUGUAUGUACUUGGCCCAACUUGUGGGCUAUCUUCUCUUUUUGUAUGAUUAUGACUAAUAUUUACCAAUAGAACCAUAAUUUGCAUAGUCUUAUUAUAUUCUGACCGAAAAUAGCUUGAUUGGUCAACUUGACAAUGAAUGCAAGAUUUUUUACUAGCUAAUACUAGAUGAAAUCAAAUGAUCAUGUAUAAUAUAUGGUAUUCGUAUUAUUAAGUGAAAUCAAAUAGACACAUACAUAUAUUUAUACUAUUCGUAUUAUUAAACAAAAUCAAAUAGACAUAUAUAUGUAUUUAAACAAAAUAUAUUCACACACAUUUUUUUAAGGGUUUCCCUCACACACAUAAUUAGUGAGGGAUGGAAAUAUUCAUUUUUUGAAAUGUGAUGGAUGGAGAAAUUUAUUUUGUGAAAUGUGAGAAAUGAAAACAUCAUUUUAUAAAAUGUGAGGGACGAAAAAAUUUGUUUUAUAAAAUGUAGAGGACUAUAGAUUAGAUUAUGUAAAAUAUAAUCUGACAAAUUUACCCUUCAAAAAUGAUUACGUGCCUUGCACGUGAUGGAUUCCAGCCAAAAAAUGAUCGGAACCUAGUUAGGGACUAAAUUUGACAAAUGUGAAUAUGUAAGGGACAUAAAAUUACACUUUUAACAGUGAGGGACGAAAAAAGUCAUUUUACAAAAUGUGAAGGACGUUUUAGACGAUUUUACCUAAAUUUUACAUAGAUUCAACUUUGGGCUUGAACCUUAUAAAAUUCACCUUUGAGCUUCAUAUUAACUAAGCCCUUUAAACUCAUUUUUUACAACUCAAUUUUCUUGAGCAACUGAGUGGGAAAUCUUUAUCUAAAAAAUGCUUGCAUUAACCAGUUUUUUUUUUUUUUUAAACAUCUUUCAAAUUUCAAGUCCAUCAAAUUCGUAAAUCCUGGGACUUAUCAACAUUCCAGCCAAACCUUAAUGAAAUAAGGGGAAAAUAAGGAACUCUUAUCUGGCCAUCUAGGGGAUUUAACUUAACAAAAUUACCUUUGUGUGUAUACAUAUGGGAAUGAAUCACUUGAAAUCAACGCUUAGCUUUCAGAAGACACAUCUAGGAACCCCACAAAACAGCCAUAUCUUGACUAUAUAGGAAAGUGCAAGAGGGAAUAUAUAGCAAGUGAUUAUGAGAAGGUGGCUGAAAUGAUUGUUGGUUUUAUCUAGAGGUGUCAAAAUGGGUGACUUGGGCGGGUUUGGGUUGGGUAAAAUGGGUAAUGGAUAUAAGUGAGUCAACCCAUUUAUACCCAUUUAAUUAGAUGGAUAUAAAUGGGUAAGUCAAAAAAUAAAUUGGGCAACCCAAUUAUCCAUUUAUAACCCAUUUAUUUUAAUUUUUUGUAAACUCAUUUAAAUUCAUUUUUGCAAACUAAGUUAUCAAUUUAUACCGUUCUUUGUAUCCAUCAUUAGUUUUAAAUAUUUACUUAUAAUGCUCAAUCAGCCUAAUUAACAAUUUUUUUUCAUUUAUACUCUAUGUCGCAAAAUUACAUAUUACUUAAUAAUUGAAUAAUAAUAGUACAAAAAUUUGAACUAAGUACUAUAAAAGUUAAUAUAAAAACUUAAUCCAAAAAUUUUGAACCCCUAACAUUUUUUUCAUAUAUAAAUUUAAAAUUUCGUUUUAGAAAGAUAAAAAAAGAUGUUAAAACUUAUCAUAAAUUGGUAAUGCUGAAAAUGAGCAAGUAAAUAAACUAAGAGAAAAUAAAAUAAUAAAAUAAAACCAACAAAUAAUAAUAAUAAUGAAACAAAGGUAGUUAACAUCGUGACAAAAUGAAAAUUUGAAAAAAAAAAGGGUGGGGAAGAGAAUUCUAAAUGGGUUAAUUAGGUUUGAUAGGUUACCCAAUAAUACCCAUUACUAAGUGGGUAUUAUUGGAUAACCCAUUUAUACCCAUAUACAAAAAUUUAAGAUACCCAUACCCAUCUAUUUAUGAGCGGGUAUGGAUAAAUUUAGUUAAAUGGGUUAGUUUGCCACCUAUAGUUUUAUCAAUCGUGACCAAGUAAUUACGAUUGGUAGCAUGCUUGUGACUUUUGAUGGUCCAUUUUUUCAGUAUAUAUAAGUCCACUUUAAACCUUAUGAUGGCCAACUGACUUGAAUUCUAUGUUAGUGACUUUUUUAGUACUUUAAUGUGUGACUAAUUAGAUAAAUCAACUUCCACUGAACAGCAGUAGAUUUCAAACCUCUCGGCCGCUACCCUUUUAAAAUUUAGGAAAAAUUAUUUUUCCAAUAGAACUUUUAAUAAAAGUGCUUAAUAUGUGUUUAGUGUCCGUUUGGAUUAGCUGUUUUUUAGGGGUAUUUUUGAAAAAUUUUGCUGUAGCAGGGUUUUUAGAUUAUAUUUUGGGAUAUUUUCAGAAAAUAUUUUGGGAUAUUUAAGAGUAGGAGAGUUUCUAGAAUAUAUUUUGAGAUAUUUUUUAAAAUUUUAAACUAAUUUUUAGAUUACCUUUUAGAGUACUUUUUAAAAAAUUUUUAUUGUAUUUGAAAAACACUCCCAGUCUGGAUACAUUAAUUCAAUAAGUACUUAAUGUAUUGGAUAAUAUAUAAUUUGAAAUUUUUAUAUGUAUUUAUCUCUUUAUUUAGUUGAUAAUAUAGGAUAAAAUGAUUAAAUUAAAUAUUUAUUUUAAAUCACAAACGUACUCUAAAAGUAUCAAAUUUGAGCUUUUGCUAAAAGUGCUUUUAGGACCAAAAGUUCCACUCCUAAUUUUAUGGAAUAAUGUUUACCAAAUAACACCUAAAAGUAUUCUUUUAACAAAAGCACCGUAGUCCCAAACGGGCCUUAGUCACCUUCACCACAACAAGCUACAAUUUGACAUGAAUCUCUUUCAGAGCUGCUCUAUGGGAUUCGAUUUCUUCAAUUUAAGAUCCAUACCAAUUUCACUUGUAUAUAUAUAUAUAUAUAUUGCUAUCCAUGCAUCCUUUCCUAUCUCCAUUUUUUUUUUCUGUAAAUUUUUUCGAGAUAAGCAUUUGUAUAGAGAUGGAGGCGGAUUGACGAAGAGGUUCAUAUCCCUAAAGCAUUUUGAUUCAAUUUUUGUACUUGUAUAUAAAUUGGGCUAAUAAUGUGUACAACACUGGACUAUCAAAGGAAUGUUUAUUUCGCUUGCAAUUCCUGUUAUUGGACAUCUAAAAAGCUUAAAUGUUACAUGAUAAAAAUACAUUAGAAAGAAAGAGAAAGUAGCAUUCUGUAAUAUAUUUUGUUUCAAGGCUCUAUUAUAGAAAUGGUAAGAGCAAUUGCAAAAAGUUUUAACACUUUUAGUUGCAAGAUUAGAAGGAAUAUUAUCAAAAUUCAGGAGGGGUAUCUAUGGAGCAAUUCUAAAAUAUCUAAAUUUUUUUUAAUAAAAUUGAGAGGUGCAAUUCUGUACAAUUUUUUUUUAAUAAAAUCGAGAGGUGCAAUUGCACCCCGUGGAAUCAACGUGGCUCCACCAUUCCCUAUAAUUAUCUACUACUACAAACGUGAAAUAUUUUUUGAAAAAGAAUUACUUUCAUAAGAUAAGGCGCCCCAAUAACUAAAUACAGUAAUAUGAGGGUUAGAAGUGUACUUUCACUUUUUACUUUCAUUUUACUCAUUCACGUUACAAUUGGCUUUAGAAAAUGCUAAUUCCACACUUUGUACAAGUUGCAAUACUAAUAGUACAAGCCAUUAGUGCAUCCAAUGUGUUGUGUUAUACUUAGGAUGGUUCUAGUGUAGAUAGGAGUGGGCAAAAUUAUCCGUUAAUCCGAAAACUCGUCAUAUUCAAUCCGAAAAUUAGGAUACAUGAUUUAUAUUAUUUGAUCCGGUUAAAAAAGAGUCCGAUACCCACUGAGAUGGGAGGCAGAUUAAAAUCACAUAAUUAAAAACCCAGGGUUCACGACCCAACCCGCCCCAUAUAUAUAUAUAUAUAUAUAAUAUUUUUUAAUUUAUAUAUAUAUUAUAAAAUAAUAAUUUAGAGCUGAAUAAAUAAUUUCAUUGAACAAAUUGCAUCACAAAUAUAAGAAACUAUAGUUUAUUUACAAGAUUCAUUUGUAAAGGUUACGAUCUUAUGUUUUAUAGAAAAAAUUUUAAUUAAUGUGAAACAUAUAUUUAAAAAAAUAUGCCCACUUCUUUUAAAAAAAGUCUAUUGUUACUGUAAGGGGAGAAAAGAGCUCUUUCGCUAACGAGUCCUAUAUAUUUCAUCGAUUAUCGUGCAGGAAUGGACUGAAAAAGCUUCGUCUUUUCUUUGAUCUGUAAGGAGCUUGACGUUUACAGGUACUUGUCCAUUUCCGUCUUCGUUCCGUCUUCGUAAUAUUCAAUUCCGUCUAAGUCCCGAAUGUUCAUUUCUCAUUGACUGCUGAAGCAACAUGAUGUGGGUCCGUACAGAAAAGGUAAAACCCUCAAUUCCGUCUCCAUCCCGAAUAUUCAUUUCUCAUUGACUGCUGAAGCAAGUAACAUGACGUGGGUCUGUACAGGAAAAAGUAAAACCGUCUAAUAAAUUUUUAAUAACAUCGAGUUGGACUGAUCUCGGCUAAAAAAAUGUAUCUUUUUUUUUUCUUGACACUGCACAACACGACAGGUAUAGGGAAAGGGAUACAAGUUCAAGUGACCUAUUCGAAUAGAUGGAAAUUAAAUCAUUAUCGGACUAGUGAUCUAAGCACUUGUUGAAUUUAGACAAAAUCAUGUAUUAAGUGAUAAAUGAUGGAAGUCAAGGUUCAAAUAUACCUACACUAGUUUUUUUUGCUCAUUGCUCCAUGUCAGAUUAUCGUGUAAAUAGGAUUGGCUAUAGGCUUGUAGCUGAAGUUUAAGGGACUUUUAGCCAAGUGAGUUUGUUAUAGCAAACUCAUGUAAGGGAACUUAGGCAUGGCUAAAGUAUUUCCGAAGCCAAUCUAGAAAUAAAGUAGACAGUGGAAUUUGAAGCCCAGAGUGGAAAACUGAAUUUUAUUUUAUUUUUUUGUGUUUUAACUCGAGCUCGAUGGCCAUACACAGUGCUCGAGCUUGACUCGAAGCAUUGUAUUUCAAGCUCGAGCUCAGCUCGUUGGAGAUCGAGCAGUACUCGAGCUCAAUUACUGAAAUGACUCAUUCAACCUUCACAAAUUUUAUAACGAUUUCAAACAAGCAACCCAAAAAAGUCAUCUGAUUAUUCCUAAAACAAUAAUUAAAUAUUUGCGCGAGUACUCUUUAGAGCUCGUCGAGCUCAUGAGCACAUAUUAUUCCUGCUCGAGCUCGACUCAAGCUCGGUCCUCGAGCUUGGUAUUGUCCGACCUCGAGUCGAGCAGCUGACCGAGCUACUCGCGAGCUCGAGUCGAGCUGCUCGAAUGAGCUGCAGCCCUAGUUUAACUUGUAAAAAAUAUUUCUCAAGAAUAAUAUAGUGCAAGUUAUUGAUCCCAUGUGAGAAGACUAAAAGAAUGGUGAAAAAUGGUGAAGUGCAUUGAAACUUCUAGCAAACUCCUUUGAGAAUCUGAACUUUCAGUUCAAAACCCCAAAAUCCUUAUCUCCUAUUUGGCAUAUGUCUGCUUAAGAACUCACUCCCCAUUUUCAUUGUCCAAUUUAGUCCUCUAGAGCCUCUAUGUUGAUGACUAUCAUGACUAUCAGAAUUGUGUACUAGUUUUCUUUCUUAACUAUGGCUUUUCUUUUUUCACGCUUCACAGUAAUUUAAGCUACAUUUAUAUUUGAGUUUUAUGUUUGGUUAAAAGUUUCAACACUAGUGAUUAAUGCUGCAAAUACUUAGACAAUUGAAGAUUUGGUGUGAUUAACAAAUCCCAUUCCAGGAGCAAAAGUAAAAAAAUCAGGGCAACAUGAUCAACUUCACCAAAGAAGAACUGAAUGCCUAUACUGGCAAUUUUGAAGUCUACUUAGGGGAGGGGAAAAACGGACGAGUCUACAGAGGACAUGUCCCUACCAAUAAUAAUCAUGAGUUGAACGAAAUGUUAAUUGCAGUAAAGCUCUCAAAGAAUCAUGAUUCAGACACAAUCACCCAAUUCGAGGUAUCCACGUAAUUUACUCACACAUGCAAACUACUAAUAUACAUAAAAUCUAAAUUCUUUUACCUCACAACUUGUCAGAAUGAAAUCGAAUGGCUGCCUCAGUUGAACCAUCCAAAUAUUGUUCAAAUGGUGGGGUUAUGCAGAUCCCCUGAAGGAAUCUAUAUCGUCUAUGAACUUGCGAAAGGCGGAGAUUUGCUCAGUAAAUUGGAAGGUAAAGUACAUAUGCACUUGAUUACUCUUGAAAUAGUGAUUUUGUUAUAGUAAACCCUUUUUUUUCUUUUUGAGAAACAGAACUGGACUGGCAGCAAACACUGGACAUUAUUUUAGGACUAGCUGCAGCCAUAGAAUAUCUUCAUGACACGGGUCUAAGAAUUGGAGACCUAAAAGCUCCUAACUUACUUCUUGAUGAGGUAAACUUCGAAAAAAACUUUUAACAUGAAGAAAAAGAAAACUUCUUCACAAUGAGAUGUUACGUGCAAUACUCAACCAUUGAGGUUUGAGAUGCUAAUGACUUUGCUUGCUUGUCUUCAGAAUUUUCAGACAAAACUAGGAGACUUUGGCACCAUAUCACCUAUGGCUACUAUUCAUACAAAAGCAAGAAUCUUUAUGACCCCUGGAUACAUGGAUCCCAGUUUUUCUUUCAGAUGUAUGAACUCAAUACCUUCAAAAAAGCAGGAAAGUCUGGUUAUAUAUGUAUAUAUAUAUUUAUGACUAGAGAUUUUCAGUACAUUAUGGUCAUUGCAGUUACUCCUCCAUACCAUUCUUAUUAGUUACUAUGCAACUGUUUUGCAAGGUGUUCCAAGCCUAGAUGAUGACAUUUACGGCUUUGGAGUGAUAAUUCUGCAACUGCUGACCAAACAGAUUUUUCCUAUCGGAACACAUACUCAUAUUGCAGAGAAGACUGAGACAGAGUUUGCUCAAGGAGAUCCAGUAGUUCAUGAGAAGCUGAGGGUGAGUGGCUGUUCAAAAGAUGAUGCAAGUACAAUUACAGGGUUGGCAGUCCAACUCACCAAUAGACCAUUUCAAAAUGCCCAAGGAGAAUGGUUCAACGUAUACAGGCCAAAUAUUGCAAGUGUAACUCAGGUGCUCAAUACGCUACAUGUUGUUCAAAGAAAUGCCAUACACAGGGGUUUUCUAAUGCUAAAGUUAAAGGCUCAAGCGAUAAAGACCAAAAUCAUGAAAAAGUAACUUUCUAGCAGUAGCACUCUUCUGUGAUAAUCAUGGACCAUCUACAUUCUGUCUGACACGGAAAGACUACUGUCUAAUAUGCUUUAGAACAUGCUGUCUGGUCACAGGUUUUGGUGACAAUUUGUUGAUUCCAAAUGUUGUCUUAACAGCUUCUUGCAUGGAUAUCUACAUUGUGAUUUUCUUGUUAAUUUCUAGGAGUGAUUUUUAUCUUCUUAAGCAUAUUUUCUCAUCCUAUUCCAAGUUGCUUCUUUAAAUUCCGGUGAAAUUCAAUAUCUGGCUUUCCUACAAAGCUGUUGUUCCUACCAAGUGUUCGUGCUGUAUCAAAAGUUCAUUUGUGCUGAUGGUUUUGAAAAUUUAGAUAGAGCAGGAAAUGCAGAAAUGCUUCUUGACAUGCAGGUUUUUGGUGCUAAUCCUGACAAUAGAGUUUUCAGUGUGCUAACGAAAACUACAAGGGAACUGGAAAAUAUGUCAUGGUCCAAACCUUUUUUCCAUUUCUUGUAUGUUAUUUCAGUAUCAAUUCAAAUUCUUAGACGUGAACCAGGUGGCCCCUGAGUCCAUGCAUGCAUCCUUAUCUGCAGUGGUGGAACAAACCACUUGUACUUCUGAUUAAGAAUGCAACCAAGACUAUCUAAGUAGCAUAAGCACGUAGAGUUAUAAAAUCCUAUGCCAAGACACUAAACCAAUUGUUAAAACUGGGAGUUGCAAUAAAUCAAUUCUAAAGGAGUCAACUGACAGGUUUAAGGGCGACUUCUUAGAAGACUCUUGAUAUGGUUUUCCUUUUCCACCUCCAGAUAAAAACCUGGAGCAGGAGAACAUAGUUUAAACUACAUUAAUACAUGCUCAGACCUUCCUGCUACAAGUUCAAUCAGCUUGCUGAUCUCUCUCUCAGCCACCCUCCAGACCCAACCUAACAGAAGGAUAUAUCCACAUUCCUGAGUCAUUAGUAAAAUGAAGUGCAAAACUGAACAUCAAAUCAUUUCACAUUCCUUUCCUGGUUUCUACAUUCUUGUUUGGGAGAAGCAUCAAGAAAUAUACACAGUAAGGCCGGGGUCUGCAAGUAAUUCCUGAUGCCAAAUGCUUCCUUGUGCAGGUAUCUUAUCAUUAGAAGGAUCAAUUAACAGUUCUUUGAGAUAGGGUAAAAGUUAAUUAACAACAAAUUUACUGCAGGCUGAGUUUAGAAUAAAGCACUAGUAUUUGUUGACCAAUAAGGCUGCUUCUACAUCUCCUUGAAUUCUUUUUUGCCCCAGCAGUGUGAUUCUGCACCCAUGAACUAAAUGCAUUAGCUAUUUAUGUAAAUUCAGCCAGAUAUGUCCUAGCCGACUGUUUUUCUUAUUGUAAUUUAAGUGGACAACAAACACACACAUCAAGCAACAGGUUGUUUCUAGACCUCAAAACAGGGUCAUCUUCUUCAUAUUAUAGCAUCUUGUAUGUGUCUUGCAUAAAUUAAGUUCUACUAAAGCAUCAUCCGUGAUAGACAAACAAGUAUAUGCAAGUCCAAGAGAAUAUAAAAGGACAGACAAAAGUCUUUUAGUGUCCAAAAAAAAAAACAGAGAAUCUUGAAGUAUAAAUAUAUGAAAAAUUCGGAAGAAAUGUUCAUAGGGUAACAUCUUAUAGGGCCAUUGGCAUACGGCUAAUUACUCAGAAUAUCGUUGAAAAAAAGAAAAGUCGGGCACAUAUGGAUCUGACAAGGGGUGCUGCAAAUCUAUGGCUGGCAGCAGACAAAAUUUUUUUUUUUUUUUAAUAAAUUCGCUGGCUGCCGGGCUGUGUUAGCCCGGCAGCCGGCAGACUUCUGCAAAAAGCUGAGCCAUUCCAAUUUAAAAAAAAUAUAUAUAUAUUCCUGUUGCAAAAAGAUGGCUUCUUCAACGCUUUUGCUGUUGGUGGUGUUUAUUAUUGAUUUGAUAGCUUUUGCACUUGCUGUUGCUGCUGAGCAAAGAAGGGCUUCUGUAAGUUUAUUCCCAGACUUCUAAUUUGCCUUCUUCUAUGCCAAUUUAGAGUGGUAGAUGGAACUCUUUUUUCUUCAUUAUAGCAUGAGGUUUUUGGUUAGAGCUGCUGGCAGAAAGUUGCAAUUUUGUUUUGGUUCGUGAUUUGCUAAUAUUUAAUUGCAAUUUUUAUAAAGGCCUGUUGAAUUUUCAUGUCCAUCUGAAAUAGAAUCCAAGCCUGUCUGUUGUUCUCGAGUUUAAUGAAUUUCCCAUUUUAGGUAUUCAGGUAGCUAAUUUUACAGUAUAACCAACCAUUCAUGUUCAGUGUUGUGGAUGUGACAUGGAAAUAUGUAUUGAGCAUGAGCAUUCUAGCAAUAAAUCACGGUAGGCCUAAUGAGAAAAAUUAUAGUUUGUGGUCUUCAUCUCCAUAUUGUCUUUGCGUGUCUUUGCAUAUUGUAGAUUUGUGUGUCUCUAGUUCUGCAGGUCUCAGAGUGAUAAGAAAUUUUGAUGUCAUUUAUGUAAGACCCAACUGACACAUAACAUAUUGCAUACAUUUCAUGAAGGUCUCCAUGUAAAAACUGCUUUUUUUUUGUCUCUGCUAUAACUAUAGAAAGGGCAUUCAUUGACUAGAUAGAAACGUAUGAGCCCCAAUAACUGAAGAUUCAAUGAAAAUCAAAAGAGAAAAUAUUAUAGAGAUUGAAGGGCUUGAGACCAAGGUUCAGUAGGGGCUUCCAAUGGUUGGGAAAUUUCCAAAAAAAAAAAAAAAAA